GGUUUACUUACUUAGUGGACAUAGGAGUAGUUAGUGUACUUAAGAAUCCAAUCCAAUCCAAUAGUCCUGAUGAAUCAAAAUAUAAGAAAGAACAAACCGAAAACAAUUCUUUCAUAAUCUUUAAUAAGAGUGUUCCAAGUUCUCCGAAGGAGUUCCUUCGUUUGCUGGUUGCAUCUUUAUAUAUGAAACCGAACAAUAGAAUUAGCAACUGAGUGAUCGUAGCGAAGUGGGUGCCAAUGGGCUUGAUUGAGAGAUCUUUAUUGUAGGCUCUGCUUAUUCUAGAGCCCUGUUAGCUCUGUGCUCCUCGCUUAUCUCUCUUCUGAAUUGUGUAUAAUUCGAUAGCAGCUUCCCCGCUCUUGUAUGCCUUGCUUUCUUCUCAGUUCUCUAGGAUGGAUUAGUCUAAAUUGGAACCCGAAAUAAUACCCAGUAGUCAGUAGUAAGCCUACCGAUUGCCAGAAGUAAGUUACCCAACUAAAUAAGUGAUGUUAUAGUGCAUUUUCCACCCAUAUCUUUAGGGUUCCCUUUAAGAUCCGGCUUUGAAGCUCUAAGUGUAGAAUGUACUGUUCUUGUGUGAGUUGAAGACAGGGAGUACUUGUUCUUGAACACAGGACUCCAACAACUUUAGCACAACUCCGUCCUUAUGUCCUGAGUUGCUUGUCGGACGAAAAAGGGUAUACUUUCUGGGCCCUUGACUUUGAUAGCCUUCUUCAGCGAGGUGUCGUGUUUCGAGGUGCGUUAGUGAGCUCGGGCUCGGUUAACGCUUAAAUCCUUAUUUCUUUCCCGAUUCCUAGGGCCUUCAAAUGCAUUUCCGUCUAAUAUCUUUGAUUUCGAGUUCCGGGCACAGCACAGAAGAAAGUAUUGGAUUGAGCUAGGAAGCGAGGAUUCUUGAGCAAGCGUUGUUUGUUACCUAACAGCAGCAGAUCCAUCUUAUGCUUACGGUGAACUCACUAUAGCUUUUUUCUUGCACCGAGGAAGAGUCAAACAUGCAUUUCUUAUCUUUUGCGCACGCACAUCUAUAGAAUUAAGUAACCUAACAACUGAACUUGGCUUUAGAAUUAAGUAACCUAACAACUGAACUUGGCUUUAGAAUUAAGUAACCUAACAACUGAACUUGGCUUUUGCUUUUGCCGAACUAGACUUUACGCUUGCUCCGGAUUCUCUUCGGCUUCUUGCUUCCGCUUUAUAUAUAGGUAGGAUUAGACUGCUAGGUAGGAUUAGACUUAUUUACUUCCUGCAACACAAUAACCUCCUCAUAUGUCAGCCUUCUUCCCAGGAUCAGCGGUAAUCUCCCUUGCAUAUGGGUCCUAUAACAAACCUUUUGGUUGGUGGGAAGAAUUGCUUUCUUUAACCACUGCUCCCGUAUCCGAGUGAGUAACAACUUAGCUCCCGUAUCCGAGUGAGUAACAACUUAGCUCCCGUAUUCGAGCCGAGUGAGUAACAACUUAUUGAGUGUCUGGGAGUAUCCCCCGUAUCAAAGAAAGAGUAAGGAGGCAUGUAUCAAUAGCGCUAUGCUUUUAUUAUCUCCUUGCCACCAGGUCAGUAACCAGAGACUUGAAGGCUUUUUGAAUGAAGCAGCUGAGCAUAACGAAUCGAAGCCGAAGGCGGAUCCAAAUACGGUUGCCUCUCCUCUGAAAGAAGAAGUUGACUCUCGUUCCCUCUCCUCUGAAAGAAGAAGUCGACUCUAAUAAGUAAAGCUAUCAUAGUAAUUGACUCUAGGAAAGCCAUAAGUAAAGCUAUAGUAAUUGACUCUAAUAAGUAAAGCUAUCAUAGUAAUUGACUCUGGGAAAGCGGAACGAAGAUCCAAUGAAUGAGCUUGAAAUCCCGUUCAGAACAGUUCAGCUCAAGUUAGUAUGAGUUCCUAGCUUACGGAAUUACGCAAGGUUAUCGCUCAAUGCCAGGAGAUGCUUUUGCCUUCCUAAAUACUGCUAAGGGUCCUUCAUCCAGUAACCUUGUUCCCGCAAGAGAACUUUAGGCACGGGGGUGAAUACAAAUGGCAAAAUGAGAGGCUCGCUUUUUCUCAGAGCUUGCUGGCUCACCUUUCGGGUUGCACUGCCUAGCCCUCUACACCAGCUAAUCUAAAGAAAAUGGCCAGUUCACAAGGGGAAUCGGCCCCAUAGUCCAGCGAAUCUCAAGAAAAGGUCGGUUCACAAGGGGACAUAAGCAUCGGCACCAUAGUAAGGGAGUCUUUCCUCACAGAUUAACACAGUAGGGAGAGCCCUCGAUUCGCUCAUUUCAACGAAGCUCAGUCAGUUAGUUUUGGGCUGUUCCAUUCUUUUGGUAGAGGCUUUUCCGCGGGGCCAAGCAACUACUACUGUGACAGAGGCAAAGAGCCAAGCGUAUACCUGGACUAUCGACAUCCUUAUUAGUGUUGAACUUAGAUCCUUCGUUGAUCGCCUCCGCCCCUGCUGUCGUCUCUGCUUUAUAAGCGUUUCUAUCUUUCUCUGCUCGCACCUGCUGAUAAAAUCGGAUCGACUGAUACAGUAUAUGCUAUCGGUGGAGACUACCUCAACAACAGGCAAUUGGAUCUUGUCCUCUGCUUCAAUUUAUGAUGAAACUGCGGUCGACUCGUUCCGUUCUUGAUCUAGAUACUCUGACUCGGUACCCAGAUGCGACCCGACCCUAGCUGACCCCGCCCCGCUUCUUCUGAUGGGUUGGUUUUCAAUGGGGAGUUACAGUAGUUUUGAAGCAACGAAACAAUCUUUCUCUUAUCUUAUGCGCUCUCGGGGAUGAAUUUCACACCUAUGAGACUCUGGGGGAUUAACCUAACACUGCCACAGCUCGCGCACCCUUUCCAAAAGAAAGGUAUCGUUGCUACUCCGUUGAAUUGUAUCCCUUUUAUUCUUUUCUGCCCAAAGCCCCCACCCGGACAUUCUUAGCAACCUCAGCUGUAGAGAUUAGAUUCAACAUUCCAUUCUUUAAGCAAGGGAAGCAAUGCUUAGUUUUAUGACUGCUACUCUAUAUGUGGAACGCUCAAUUCUCUUCUCUGCCUUUUGCACUCACAUUCAAUGAGAUUAACUUUAAGGGUCGAACAGGAACGAACAGGAUCGCGCAGUAACGAACUGGAAUGGAUUUCUAAGGGAGUAAUAACGAAACUACUAAUAAGGAAAAUUCGAAUAAGAUAAGGGAAAGUCCGCCUAUGAGCAGGGAAUGUUAGACUAAAGGCCAGUAGCAGAAAGACCAGCAUAAGCACAUAAUCAAUAUAAUAUGUAGUUCAUGUCAGGUUGAAAGCCCAAAUCCCGAUCGGUAACUACAGACGGAAAGGCAGUGUAAGUUUCAGAGCGCGGAUAGUCGGGCUUGGCUACUACCCUGCUGGGUAGUUCAGUUACUUAUGAGUUCAAUUAAGAGUUUUCUACUUGGACCUGGGUAACCAAUGAUGUUACUGCUUGGUGUGAAUCCUAGGUUGAUUCUACUACCUAUACAGACUACUGAUACUGAGACUAUUACUUAGUUGUUAACUCCUUACUUCUUAGUGCGAUUCCUUUACUUAUGGGUUUCCGUCUUAUCGGGUAGGUCGUGAUUUCUUGUUAUCAGCAGUUCGAUUCGAUUCUUGUAUAUGCUACAUCUCAUCAAUCCCCACAUUGCUAAAGAAUAAGAGUAAGGGCUGUAAGGCUGUCAGGCAUUAGUUGCUGAGUUGGUGUUGGGAAUAGCAGACUGAUAGGCAAGAGAUAUUGGCUUAGUUCCAAUGGGCAGUAUAUAUAUGCGGAGUUCCAAGUCCCAUUCUUAGGUUUCUAUUCUGGGUGUCGUUAUUUCAAUCUUGUCGACACUGGAUUUAUUCUGUAUUAGCGGCAGGGUUCCUACUUAUUAGUUUACGAAGACAUCAGCAGGACAUAACUAAUAAGAAAUACAUAAUGGGGGCAUUGAGAGCAGGGUCCUAAGCCCCUAAAGACAUUAGUGGCAUACUUCAGGGUGUAUGCGCGCCUGAGACCUAAGCGGAUUAGUUAAGUAGUGACAGCAAAGAGAUAGGGAAUGCAAGGGACAAUUAGAAGACUGGCUACCCGAAACACGGGAGUGGAAGUAAUAAGUACAAGAACCUGGCUACCUAUUAAUAAGACUAAACCGAAAGCAUAUAGUAAUGAGAGAGCGCAGUCGCAGUUUUCUGCUAUAACUAAAGAGUUCAAGAAGCAAUACGGAGGCUUAAGGUAAAGAGUAGAGGACAACAACUCAACAGUCGGAAUGAAAGCAAAGCAUACCAAGAGUGAAGGUCAAGGUAGUUAGAAUCAAGGCAAGGAUGGUUAUAAUGAGAAAGGAGAGCGAGAGGCGGUAAUCAAAGACAAAGUAGGCUCAGACUCCAACAGCAGAUCGGGAAUUCGAAUAAGUAGUUGAUGUUUGAAACUACAACACUAGUAAGCGAAACUGGAACACAGGAGUUUAGGGAACAACUAAAAGAAUGCAAGGCAGGAAUGUCAGGGCAACAUAAGAUAAUAUGUGAUGGUCGUGUCGGGUAUUUCGAAUUCAAGCAAAGAGAGGCGGGCUACGAAAUAGUUUAGUCAAAUAAGAUCCUAGGGGCGAUGGGAGGGUAAUACUUUGGAGUUCGUAGUGGAAGGCCUAUACGCUUAAAUACAAGAGUUAGAGGAAGGGGUUCAAGACCUAGUUAUUAGUUCAAGUAGUGUUGGGCGCCAGUUUGAGUUUGAGUUCCCCGUUAAAGUAAUAGAAGCACUGGUUGGUUAUAGGCUCAUAAGCUAAUAAGUAAGUAAGGAUCCGGUUCAGCAACUAAUAGCCCUCAAAGAAGUGGAGCGGGCCUGCCCCCACAAACGACUAUUCUUAUGAAACUACAAAUCAGUCUGCCCUUCCUCACUUACUUCCUCUAGUCAACGAUUGAAACAGACUUGACUGUCUACUAUACGGGUCUACCCUGCCUUGCUUGUUAGUUCGAGCCUAUCUCGCCUAAAUCUUAUUUGUCAUAUCAACAACUAGAUCUUUCUGCCACAUAUCCAUGCGUUAACACAUAGGUUCUAUUACUAUAAUGGAAUUACUAUACGAAAACACAUGCUAUUAUUAUAUAUCAUAUGAAAACGUUAGAGUCAAUAGUGGGUGCCAAGGGAAUGCUGCGCUACCUUAUUCAUUAGAAUCAGAAAAUGUAAGUAAACCCUGUCUUACUUACUAAGUAGUCAAUCUUUUACUCACCGGCAGCAUAAAGCCUUAUUCAACAGCAGUCCACGCCUUACUAUAUCUAUACAUUUCCAAGCCUUCCCUUAAAUCAUUUCACUCUCCAGCUGAUUACUUGUAUUUUUUGACUACCUGAUCCCGGGUCCUUUCACCCAAACUGACAUUGCUUUACCUGAUUCUUAAUACUCUUACGCCCUUCCCCGUGGCUAGCUCCUCAAACAAAUAACGAGUUUUGUUAGCUGGGUUUCUACCCUUGUAUGCCUGAGCUCAAUUCGCUAGGCAGUAGUCAAUUCUUCUAUAUUCACUAGUUCGACUCCGCCUCUAUGGGCGCUGUAUCCUAUUCUGAAUAUAAGUAAUAUAAGUAAGUAAACAAAAAGAGCGUAGCUAAAGUGUGUUCUGGACUUCCCCUACUGCCUACGAGGCUUGCUUUCCCGUCUCUAAGCCCCACAGCUAUAGGCACCAACCUCUACUUGUUCUUUCCAUGCCUAUGCUCCAGCUAAAGUAUUAACUACUGAGUUGAAACCGAGCCUAGAGCAAUUAACGUAUUACUUCCCCACGUAUCUAAGGCUCUUACUCUGGGUCCUUUUUUCUUCUUGUAUACCGGGCAGUGGGUUUGUAUUGCUCCCUAAAGUCACCAGAACGGAUGAAGGGCUAUUACUAACGACUUUCAUCGCACAACUCACUUAUUUCUGUGAUUUAGACCUAACCCCGCUUCGCUCAAGUAAGCUUCUUUGAGUGCUGCCCCAACUCUUCUUUAUCCUUUUUGCAAAUCCAGUUUAUACAUCUGAUCCUCCUCUUUGCUUUUACUACUCAACCUUAUACUUGUUGGUAUCUUCUUUAUGGACUUUAGGCUUAUGCUGCCUUAACUCAAGAUAGGGAAUGGAGCUACUCACUAUAGGCCUGUAACUACUGAUAACCAUUCUCCAUCUAUUGAUCAAACUAAAACUGCUUACUCGCAUGACCUUUCUCUUGUUUUGAAACUAAUAGUAAGUUAGCCUGCCUCUACUGGUUAUAAUUCCUAAACUCCGGGUAAUGAUCUAGUGCAUCUAAUCAUAGGAAUAGGUCUAAGAGCACUAAGCAACAAGGCAACAAGAAAAAUCAGUAAUAUGACCAAGAAUAAUAAGUAUAAUAAGUAGAAUAUUACAUAGAACCAAACUCUGUAUUAUAAGAAUUGAGGUACAGCCCAACGCAUAUAGGUAUAAGAACGUUCCACAGAGAAUAUGGAAGUGAACUCAGCCAGCAGCCAGCAGCUGACGCUGACCUUGCUUCACCGGCGUAACAAUCUUACCUCCACCCGGGCAUAAUCCUACUCGUUAGCUGCGUUCCUCUCUUAGGCUUACUCCCUUCUCUAAGUUUCUGGUUCCUGCCUAUCCGCCUGUCCCCCACACUGCUGACUUCUAUUCUUUAACUAAUAGAACCCAACCUUUUACCUCCUCUUUUCACCUAUGAAGCCUGCUACUAUUGAAUGCAAUUCUGGAGUGAUGCUGCCAAACCCCCACAAUAAUAUCGUACUUGAUUCCAUCUAUAGAGUUCCAUUCCAUGCCCUACUCCUUUAUGCUUAGACUAAUAAGCUCCAGUCUGAUACUCGGAUUUGUUCUUCGGAAACAACUGCAGUAAUAACUUCUUAAUAACUAAUAUAUUAGCGGACCUGCCUUGCUUUAAGUCUAUCUUUUCUUUCUUCAAUGCCUUAGUUCAUUAGCUUCAUCUUAAUUCUUCUGUUUACUGACAUCAAUUAUUCCUUUCUCAUAUGAUAACAAAACGGGCUUUCUGUUUUAGAUAAAGGAGUGGACUAGUGAAAAGGUGAAGUCAGAACGGAACCACACUCUGUAUUAGUAGAAAGAAGUAAGGGACGUGCCCUACAAUACAAGAAAGAAUAAGAAAAACGGAAAGAGUUGAAUCACUGGUAGCGCAUCCACUAAGAGAAUAAUAGCUGUAAUCAGAUAUUAGAAUAAUUGCAGUAAUCAUAAGAACGGAACCCGGAGGCACAGUGAAAGAACGAAAUGAGUACAAGUAAGGCUGUUGGGUAGCAUUUUCAAAGAGUGCUAUAAGUAGUUCGAGGCUAAGGUGUAGUAAAGCCAGGAUGGGGAUCCGCUGUUAGAGAACGCAGGGAGGGAGUCACAAACAGACCUAUACCCAAACCCAAACAUAGGAGGAGGAAUGCAAGGACUAUUAUCAGAAUUGAGCACAUAACUCGAGAGGAACUAAGCACAUAAGAUAGCCUGCCCUUCUGAACUCUAAACCUGAUGCUGCUUUCUCUUAUUUGGAAACCUUGAACAAUAGGUUAGUAGGGCGUAUAUCAACUCUCAUAAGAAGGGGCUAUUUCGGCUAGUUACUAUUAGAAUGGGGCUGGUGCCUUGCCUAUAAGACAGCAAACAGUGCUUCCAAGCAUUAAACACAGAACCGACUUACUGAUAAUCAGAAUCGAUCUACCGACAAACAGGCCAAAGAGCUACUGCUUCCAAGACAACAACCACUGCUUAUAGGACUUACCCCGGAUCGAACAGCCACUUAUGAGAAUGGAGUAAUUGGCAAACAGGCUCUAACUACUGAUCCAGAUCUUCACUUGUGUGUUGGGCACGUUGCCUAGUACUAAAGCAAUAUAAUCAAUAUAAGUAAACAGAAUCAUAUCAAUAAUACAGAAUUCAUAUCAAUAAUAUAAGAUAACGGAAUUGUUCUCAUAACUCGAGAUUGAACUUAUUAGCCCUCUCUUUCUCCUCGGUAAACCAACACAACACCCCUCGCUUUCGUUCUUCAACGAUAAUGAAUUCCAAUUCUUCGGCUCCUUACCCGCAUUCUGUAGUUCGAGAGUGACUCUGCCUAUCCUCUAAAUGAUUCUGACUGUCCUAUCUCUAUGUCUCCCGCUCCUUUCCCUUAUUCCUAUGUUCAAUUAUUCAUAUGACAUUACCUUCUCUUAGUUCCAAUCAAUAGUGAGUCCGCCUAUCCACUUUGACUCCCCUUAUUAUUAUUAUAUUAGAGACUUUCCUCCACCCCGCUUUUAGCUUGCAGCCCCGACUAUUCGUAAUAAGUGAGAGGCCUCUCAUCUGAUCAACUCACUAUUCCUAGACAGGGAAAGCUGGCAAAGCAAAGAUACGACUUCCUGCCAUUGGAACGAAGCAAGAGGACAAGAAAGAACCGAGGUAAAGACACCUGGCGAACCAUAUCCACACGCUCCCGCUAUACGACAACAACAUAAGGACAAGAGGAAAGAGCUAGGAAUGUACCAAUGGAAAGAGAGCACCGGCAUUGCACCUUACUUGAACCACUUGGCCCGCAGGGGCCCGCCAGGGAGAGCCAACCUUCAAGGAUCUCUCCGGAUGCCCGUAUCCUGAUAGCCAAGAUUGGAUGCCGGCGGAACCUGUCUGGGCCUUACACGAAGUCACUUCACUCGCGGACAAAAAAGAAAUGGAACCUCACAAGCCAUAGAAAAAAUAGGCUACUUCGACUCCUAGACAGAAGAAGAGAGAGUAGGAAUGCAUCGACAGCUGGGCGUGUGGUCUUAGUAUAUUCCUACUUCAACCAACCCGACUUCGAAGAAUCAAAAGCACAGACCGAAGCAGACGGAAUAGAAUAAGAAAAACGCUCGUAGUCUUACCCUCGUUCUCCGAACCAACUUACCAACUUCAGGUAAUAGACCUAAAGAAAGAAUAGACCUGCUAAUGGAAGGCUAACGUACCGAAUAGAAGGCUUGCAAUCCUAUUUCUAAAGAGAAUUCCAGUAGUCCUCUCUAAAGAGAAUCCAAGUUUGAUCUCCCGGGUCGUGCCAGUUAGACAGGAAGAAAAGAGAAAUACCUUCCUUCAAGGAACAAUCAAACUAGAAGGUUCUUUCCAUUUUCUGAAACAUGCUAUCAGAGAACGAGCUUUAGAAUCCUGCUCUCUCUACCUGCUGACUGCUAGCUUUAGAAUCCUGCUCUCUCUACCUGCUGACUGCUGGCUCCAUCUAAAUCAAAGAAUGUGGACAAACCACUUAUGUAAGUAAGUAACCUGACUGCUAUUAAUUAUCUUAUAUCUAUUUCUGUAUCCAACUCAAGAAAUGUGCCCAGCUCAGGCAUUCUAUCUGUGCCGAGUAGUGCUUUCCCUUAACUUAAUGAGUAGUGGCCUUUCCUUUGCUUGCUUAGCUUUCCCCUGUGUAUAAGAAGCGGUUAAUAAGUGUUGGCUAAAGUCAGCAGAAGAAUUGCCAGUGAUAGUGACAGGUGCAGAGUCCAAAUAAUCCAGAAAGGUAAGCAGUAGAAAAGUCAUAAGUGGUAAGCUAAGCUGGACAGAAAGAAGUUGUUUCAUCCCAUAUAAAAGAAGAAAGAAAAAGAGCAUCAUAUCUUUUCGAAUACCCAAUACACUACACGUAGCGGUUAAGGCAAUUCAUUCUGUUUGUCUUUAAGGUUAUGUUUAGAAAGUAUAGAGCCAGGAGUGGAUAGGUGAGUUAAGGUAAAGAUCCAAGAUGCUGCCCUUAAGUUAAUGGGUAAAGUAGAAAGGAAACAGGCGCAAGAAGUCCUUUACUUAAGGUCUAGGCCGAGCAAGCCCCACAAGUUCUGUUGAUUCAAAAGGUUGAGUUGAUAUGAUUCCGGGGUGCUCUUAACCAAGUUCCGUCUCAUACACUCCAAAUUCAUUUCUGGAACGGGGAAGAUCAGAUGAUAGGGAAACCCCUACCCUCUUGGUUUCGAGAUCCUAUAUGGAACCAUUUGAACGUCCAUUCGGGCCUCAUUCUCUUCUCCUCACGUUUCAGUCAGAGCUCCGAAAUGACUUUGCCUCAUAAACCAGCACUUAAUCCUAAUCGCCCGUUAGCUAGCCCUACUUUUCUUUUGACUCGUAAAAGGCAGUUCAAUCCCCUUUUCUACUUUUAUACAAUAUAUUCCAUCCACUUUCCAUCCACUUUUCGAAUUUUCUACUAUGAUAUAUGGAACAACUAGGCCAACAACUUGACUUAGCCAUUCUUCGGAUCAAACACCCCUUCUCCUGCCGAAGUGCCAAACUACGGGAACUGGUUUUACCUCACUCCGCUCGCCCACCAUGGAGUUCUGAAUGAAGCUCUUUCCCGCGCAGGCAAUAGCACUACAUUGUCCCCAGCUUAUCAAUUCCAACAAGAAUAGGUCACUUUGCUGAGCGGAACAAACGAAUGAAUGGGUAAAAGCUCUCGCCUUACCGGGGUAAAGAAGGGUCUCCGCAUUUGAAACUCAACCCCUCGGACCACUUUCCUUCCAUACCCAUAGGACCAAGGGCUCGUACCAACCUAACUCUUUUAAGACACCGGGCUCUUCACGAAAACAGAGCAAAGGUGCUCCUUAACAACCUGAGCCACAUCCGCCCAUGGUGGGCAAUCCCAUCAGUUCUCAGUUCUUUGGAUUCAAUUCUAUCCAAAAGAAAGGGCCCAGGUAGCCUAACAAAUGCGUCUUCCGCUAUCUUAUCUAAUUCAAAACCACGGUCACUUCCACUUGCCUAGCUGAUAAAACCACUGUCUCAGUAGCUUCCUCUGGAACAGCAGCGUAUAAAACAAAUAAUAAACAAAGAUGUGAGAGCUUGAUAUACCUAAGCUAAGGGUUCUCGUCACAAUGAUUAGAUUUCUUUUCAAGCAAGAGUAAUUCAUUCCUUUUCGAUAAACAAAAGUAGGCCGUUUUUAGUAAAGUAAUAUAGAGUUAUACAAUUGGAGUAAUAUAGAGUUAUACAAAUAAGAGUGUCAUUCCUUUCGAGAAAAUGCCCAUCACGCCUCUGCUCUGACAGUCCCUUCAUGCACUGAUUCCCGUCAAGCACUCGUGGUGGAGAGUCGCGUGCCACUCACUGUGGUUGCAUCCGAGUUUUGGUGGAACCUCGCGUCCCUGCGCCUCACUCAUAAGGUAAGGUAAGGGCUGAAGAGGGGCUCGAUGAGGAAGAUCUACUUCUAAUGAGCCUGUGUCAGUGGUUGGACAAUUGAGACCAGUAGUUUGGACAGUGGAAGUGGAAAUGCAAUCCCAAUCUGAAUCUGUCGAAUCCGAAGCCUCGGUGGGGCAUUUUGAGUGUCUAAGGGCUCAAGUGAAGUUGGCAAUCAGAAGCAACGACGGUGGGGGCUCUCACUCAAUAACGGCGUGCAUACUAGGUCCCUAAAGGCGCUUGUGGCAACCCUUCACACAGAGCAGAGCAAUAGAAAGUUCCCCGCCCGGAGAAGCGAGAUCUACUGUGGUAGGAUUUAGUUCUAGAGUUUCUACUAGUUAUCCGGGUGAAAUGUAAAUCAAUUCAUAUUCGAUGCCUUGACUUGAGUUUGGGAUUCAUUCGAACCAAAAUGAACUACCCCAUUACAAUAGGGUGACGGGCUGCCAAUCAGAUUGACUUUGUGCCGUUACGUAUUUGCCUUGGCGUAUAUCAUAUACGGCUCGGGGUAGAUGGCAGGCAGUCCUAUAAGUAUAAGUAUUGGUUUAGUCCAGAGUAAGAUCAUACUGUUAUUGGUCUUGGUUUUCGUCCAGUAAGAUAUAUAGGAGAUAUGGGUCUCGGUUUUCGUCCAGUAAGAUAUAUAGGAAACUUUUCUCUCAGAUGAAUACCGUUCUGUUAGACCCGAGCGACUAUGACCAGGAGGAGAGCUCAAGUAAGUGGCAGUAUAAGCUUAUUUGGAAGGUAAUGAAGAAGUGGAAGAAAGGAUGAGUGGAGAACGACUUGAGUUUUGGAUUUAGCAGCUCCAAGUUCAUAUUAGGCCUUGUGCUUGUUCGCUCAUCAAGGAGACCUACGAGUACGUCUGUGACUUGAGUUUGGCGGGCCUUCCGCUAGCCCCAUAGAGAAAAGCUUUUACCUGGAACACCCUCAUGCUUCCACUUUGACUGCCGUUUGCUCCCAUUGAAGCGUUUGCUCGCCUCUUUACCUGGUCCGGUCGGACCUGGUGGGAACUACUACAUGAGCUUAGAAACGAGAAAAAGGAAAUGGGCUCCCCUGCGACAAAGGAAGCGAAUUUAGCACUUAACCCACACCGACUUUUGUAAGAUACCAAUCAGGGGCUUAUUCACGUCUGGUAUUAAUGUAACGUAACGGGCAGGCAGCGCUCACUACUUCGUGCUUCAAUUGACACCUCUUCCCGACUCACGUCAGAGAGCCUCCUCACGGACAACACAACGGCUAGAAGAGAGGAAGUAAGAAAGAGGGACAGCUAACACACUGUUGAAAACAAAGGUAGUUAGUUUGGGCUUCGCCAUCACCUUACUUACUGAAACACACUCCAACUUAUACUAAUCAAAUAUUCCAGUAUUUAGAACAGCUAGGUACCGGAGCCCCAGAGUGAAGGACACCUUUUUAGUAUUAUGAUUAUUCGAUUAACUUCAAGCCAACUGAACCAAACCUAACUUAUUAUUUGGAUGAAACAAAGACUGUAACUGCCGAGUGCCCUAACAUUGAUUUGACUCCCGGCUUAGCAUAGAGGACCAACGACCUUACGUCUCCAACCGAGUUGUUAGUUUUUUGGUAGUCCACUUAAGAGCGAGAAUCAUGAUACUCAAGGGGCGGGUUCUCUGGGUCAGCAACGGACCCUGGCUUUCCUUUCCUUAAGUUGAUAUUGGCCUAUAAGAAAGAAAGAGGAUUUUGGGAACAGUUUGUAAAGUCAAAACCUGUCUUGCGUAGGACAAGAUUGAGCGGAAGAAGCCGGCUUGUUGCAACCGUGACCCAUUCUAGAGAAGCCAUGAGUCAGUUUCUCUAUGCACUUUCUCACUGGAUUACCAAAGAAAGGUGAAAGGAUUUUGGGUCGAUUACCUUACGGCGAUAAAGGAUUAGACGGUUCAUUUGGAAGCCUUUGGAAUCUUAUUCUUUCAAAUAUACAGAAGUAGUCGAUGACUAAAAGAAAAGGUGCUGAAAGCCUAAGGCAAGGGGUCAGGGUAGUCUACGAAUUGUUGGUCCUGACUAAUGGCGGAGGGAGAGCGUAGCAGGAACUUUCUUUCCUGGUUGUAAGGUCGGUCUAUAAACCAAUAGAGGUCAGAGUUUCGAAAAUCCCCGAGAAGUGUGGUGUAUGGGAAUGGAGAAGUAAGCAUUCGAGUACAUUGUUGCAGACGCCUAAAAAGUGCAAUCACCCACCGACAUUUGCAUAAGAAUAAUCCGAUGAAAUCAUACAUAGCAUAGGUGCAUCUUACCUAAGAACCAGAGUAUAGGGCCGCUCUUUCCCAAUCCGAACCAGCUGAAUAGGCCUAUGUAGGGUCGUAAGGCUUCCUUCAGUGAGUGCGUAAACAGAAACUCUUUAAGAUGCCGAAUCAGAAGAAUCAGCUGAAACUAGAGAAAGAGAAGUGUAUAAGCAAAGAAUCCGAAGACGCAUAGGAACCCCAAUCACCUAAAGCAUAAGUAUUCAUCCGAUAACGCCACUGGUUGCCGUUGAUGGCCGUUGCAACAGCCCCGUGAGAACAGAACAAAACGGAUUGCUUAUUGUUUCUAUGAGUCGACAGGAGAAGCACCGCUCAAAGGAACUUUAGCUAGGUCAUUUUUACCUUGUUUUAUGAAGGUAUUUAGUACUCGAAGGAAAAAAACCUCGAAACCGGGUUGUAGCUUAUGGUGCUUUCUUCCCUUCCUAUUAAGCCUUUUACUAUUAGCUUUUUGACCUUGUUUUCCGAAGAUAGCAGCAAUCCCCCUUUUUGAAAAAAAGUAGAUACAUAAAGUAGAAAGGUAUGGAAUUGUUCUUAGCUUGGCGCGCUUGCUUCCCUCUAAAGAAGCCCUAACGCUUUGAAGUCUUAGGUUAAUCACUCCAUUCUUUCCGUACCGACCUGACCUCUCUCGAAGCAGUAUUUCCCUGAGCUGCAUAUCAAGUUUCUUACGAACUAACAUAUCUUUUGUCUCCUGAACCAAAGGAUCCCUUUUCUCCCGCUCCGCUUUUUCCGAAUCAACAUCUAAUUGUAGCUAGGUCAGUCAUAGGGUUAUUUCCAGUCUAGUCUAGAAUCAACACCAAACUAAGCUAAACCUUAACUACGUAAAAUCUACCUGUGAAAAGCUGCCAAGGAAGGAACCAAAGCGCUAGCUACUCUCCGAAAACUAGCUGCAGUGAAAGGCGACUUGAGAGUCAGAAGUGGAGAAGGAAGCGACAAGUUCCUCAGAUAGGCACGGACACUACCCAUUAGGGGUACUAAGCUUUCCCCGGGCAGAAGUCUAGCUCCAUUUUCCAUGUUGAGCAAUGCCGAUACUGCGCGCAUGCUGAUAAACAUAAAAGAACACUUCUGCUUUAAGCUAUAGCUAGGUCGGAGCCCCUUUCUCAUAAAGUGGAGUCUCUUCUUUCUUUCCCCAGUUACAGAGGAUUGACUAACCCCAUGGAUAUGUUGUCGAGGAUUGACUAACCCCAUGGAUAUGUUGUCGAGGAUUGACUAACCCCAUGGAUAUGUUGUCAUCACAUUUAGCUCCGCCUGUUAUAGCAAGCAAGCAAAGCCUACUUCCACUUUGUUGGGAGAGAAAUCCUUCCCCUAAUGCUAUUUGAUCAGCGGAUCAUAAAUGAGCCCAGCUUGGCGAAACUCCACCGUGAAAUAUGCGGGUAGCUCUUCACGAAAGAUUGUUGGCAUGCCUCCCAUAAGAAGGCGGAUAAGGAAACCCAUGAGAGCGCCUUGUCUUGUUCGAAUCUUUUUCCUAAAGAAAGAGCAAUCGAUUACUAUACUAGUGCAUGCAAACUGCAAUCUUAUAGAGCACCUUGAUCCUAUUGAAAAGAAAGGGCUCAGGCGAGAGGGCCUAAGGGUUAAUAAGAGUUCAGAGAAGGUUGGAUCCGGGAAGGCUUAUAAGCCCGAGCGAGGGUUGGUUUUGAACCCUGCAAAAGCAAAUGAAUUCGAUUCCGAGAUGAUAGGUUGGGGCUGGCUUGGAAGGCUAUUUUGCUACAGGGGAUGAUUAAGCGAUAAGAGGGAAACCACACUUUUCUUUCUCCCGUUUGUUUGUGGAUUUCCAAAGAAGAAGUAAGUGUAAUCGAGUAAACAAGCAAAUAAGAUCUGAUGCUUCUAGAUUUCUACCGUUUGUUUGUGGAUUUCCAAAGGAUAAGUCAGUGUAAUCGAGUAAACAAGCAAAUAAGAUCUUCCCUUAGAGCCAGGAAAUAAUACAAUGGGAAUUGGAGUCGCUUUUUCCUCUUUUUCAAUAUAGCUUGGGGUAUUAUUUCUAUUAGUAUUGUCCCACUGUUGCUAGUUGCAUUAUUGGUGGAAGGCUAAAGAAAAGAGGCGGUGUAGCGAGAUGACUUGGAGUGGAGCCUAGACCUUUCAUAAGGAUUGGUUUAUUCCACGUCUUUGGGUCCGGUGGUCACAGGGAAUCUUGAAGCGGCUAAGGAGUGACUCGGGAAAGGGAGAAUAGUUACGGCUAAGGAGUGACUCGGGAAAGGGAGAAUAGUGACUAAAGGUGCGGUUUGGAAGGUAAGGUCGGGUCGGCCACCUCUAUAUUCUCUUUUGACAUUCCAUCACCUCGAGGAGGAGUAAAUAGCAGCAUUCCGUUGGAUAGUUUUCGGGUGUUAAGGUUAAGAAAGACAUUGAAUCGAGGUUGGAUUGACUGGCUAGCUUGGGCUAUCCUAUCAACGAAUAAUUCCUUUCCCUUACUUAACGAGGAGAGAGAACCCUCAAAUAAGCUAACGAAAGUCAUUCUAUAGUAGCCUUGAUUCCGGCAACCACAAAACCGAGCGAGGGGGACUUCCAUAAGGCUAAGGAAAAAGAAGACCACGUGUCGGAGACCAAACGAAGUCAAGACAGUAAAGACAAAGAGUAGCGAGAGGCAUUUCUCCUUGGUCUUCUUCUCUUCUCCGAUUAGGUAAAGAAAAGCUUGUUCGAAUCGAGUCAGUGUUCAUAAAAGAAAGGACAGUUAUUUCACCGCACGCAAAGGCUGUAAGAGAGAACUAGAUUGCUUCUUUGACAAGCCAGAUGGGUUAUUUAAUCAAAAGAGAAAAUACACAAGUGUUGUGAAAAGAAAGUGAGAGUCUUGCUGGAAUAGGUUGUUUAUUUAAUAUAAGAGCUAGCUAAAGCCCCCGAACUGGGCGAACAAACCAACUUGGGCAUUGCCAAACCAACCCCGCGUCUCCCAGGGCUUCCCUUUCCCCAAUAAGAAUGCAUGAUGCUUAUUUCCUGUUUUCUUUCUACUAGCACAUGGAUCGUGAUAACUCUCUUUCUUAUAGAAUGAGGGGCAGUUUCCCUUAGAGUAAUGCGUAUGACCAGACGGAAGCUGAUGAAUGGUUGUCGACUCUGAACGUAGUUCAUGGCACGGUUCCCCCGACCCCGCACCAUUACUGGCAGGCGGCAUAAAGAAAGCCCCAAUCCGCAAGGCUCUUAGCACCUCUUUGGGUUUCAAUUCAUUCUGAACUUCAAUAGCAUAGCCAGAGUAAGCGGAGCAAGUCCCUUCCUUGAUAAGCAGAGAAAGGAUCAAAGAGAAGAAUCUCCGUGGUGAGCAAGCAGUAGCCGAACAAUCCAAAGGAGGUACUAGGAUUCUUGGUAAGAUUGAACUACAUUGCGCAUCCCACAGCUAACUGCAACUUGUGAGCCUAUUUUGAAGCUACUAAAGAAGAGAACAGCCCUUCCAAGUGGGAUGAGGAGUGUAAGGAGGCGUUUGACAAGAUAAAGUAGUCUUUGAUAAAUCCACCUGUUAGAUCUCCUCCGUCUCCGGGGAAGCCCCUACUGCUGUACCCUUUAUUGACAGAAUAACUUGUCUUUGUUAUCAGCCUGGAGUUUUUGUAUAGUGCUGCUAGGAGAGCUCACUAAGACUAGGAGCGGAUUCUAUACCAGUCACAGCGUAUUCUGGGCAUCAAUGCACUAACUCCUUCGCUUAUUCACCCUUAACCUCGUUCUUGGUUACGCGCGCCGUCUACUCUGUGCAUACACUAGGGCUCUCAAAUGGUCGACUGCGAAACACCUUGUCCUGGAAUUCAUUCGAUUUCUAUUUCAUAUUCCCCUUGUUCCUUGGAAAAGAUCUUCUUAUUUAUUAUAUAUUAAUAUGGAAAGAUCUUCUUAUUUAUGACUUAUAGAAUAAUAUGGCUGGAAAGCCUGAGUAAACAAAACAAGACAAGGGAAAAGCAACACAAGUAAAGAUUGAUGUAAUUGCAAGGGUGCUAUAAACCCCCGGCUUACCAGAGUUCGUAAAGUCAUUAAGAGUUCGAUCGAAACUGGGAGAGUUAAGGCCGUUAAAGUUCAUAUACUCAUAUGUAGAUGUAGUGCUUUUCAAAGCCGACUGAUAUUGAUAUAUAAGAGAGGCUGAAGCUAUUGCCUUGCGAUGAUCAUCUUCGGUGGAUCGAACCCAUACUAACAAGCUGCAGUUAGGAGCUCCGGCAGAAAUAGGUGAGUUGGGGUAGAUUUAAGCAGGGGCAUGAAUAGAUCGUGCUUGCACCGGACAGAGAGGCUGGUAUACAGAGGGAAUCUCUUGUGAUAGAUGAGCCGUAGUCCUGGGACAUGAGUCGAGAGGUACUCUAACCUAGCCAUAUGGUUGGGGUGGCAGAGAAGUCAGAGUGCAAUUGGAGACUUCACGACCCCGGCGUCAAUCCUGGCAGCAAUCCUUCAGGGAAUCUAUUACACUCAUUCUAUCAAUGACUCGCCUUAGAUAGCAUCUUAGAUGGCUGAGCCCUUAUUGAAUGAAGCAGGGCUUGACUCCACUCCUUCCCUCCUAUCUUGAGCCUUGACUCCACUCCUUCCCUCCUAUCUUGAGCUUUGAAGCCAGAGUUAGCGUACUGAUAGUGGGGCACUACGGAUUGAUAAUAAAGAUAUGAAAAGACGGAAACUACAGCCUUCCUUUGAUUUUAUGGUUCAAUACCUUCUCUGGCCCAUGAAACAAGAUUGGAAUUGAACCGCUCUAAGCCAACAAAGAUUUCUUACCUAGCUUCAAAGCCUGUAAUUGACUCUGCUACUUACUAUAUGGGCCCGACCCGAACUCCUCUCUGCUAACAGAAUGAGGCUCCUCUCCGGUAUUUCACUAACAAAGCUACUACUAGCAUUCCUAACAAAGCUACUACUGUUCCACUCUAACUCAGAACUCGGGAUUCCACAACUACAUUAAUCGUAAAGGGCAGUCCGCUGAGCUACACUUCCCGCGCGCAACUCUCAAUCUGGUCUUAAAGCCAACUACUCUGUUGCUACUAGAUUCUUCUUAUUUCCCCAACUCGUUAACUGGGGAUGAAACUAGAACAGACAAAUACAAAUAUGAAGUAGACCUCGCUUCAAAUCAAAUACCUGGAAGACGAGACAGAAGUAGAUCUCGCAUCAAAGGCAUCGCAGCUGACGCUGCCCUCGCAUCAAAGCAAGUCAGAUAGUCUGCAACUUACUAGAAGGGCUUCUCUACUUCCUCUUUGAACUAUCACAAGAACAGGACUCCCGGAGACGAACAAAGGACUUGAAGUGCGGACUACCGAAGUCAACUAAUUCCGAUUUCUUACGUACACUCCGAGCCUUACUAUGAAGCUUCCAACUCGCGAUGCAACUCUCACUUACCCUGGACUACCGGGCAAUGAAAUAAGUGUCAUCUACUAUGAAUGAAACGACCCCUAUACCGAUCCCUAUCCAUACGCGCCUACCCGAGUAAGUAAACUACUAAGUCAGUAAACCAACCGACCCGACCCUAGUAUAGGAAUUCCACUACUACGGAGAAGGUAUCAAACAAAAGUAAGGUUAGCAAACAACCAAUAAGGGCCUCUACAUUCCUUCCCACACCCCCACUCGGCAGCAUCUGAUAUGGCCAUGCAUUCUGAACCCUAUUCUUCUAAUUCCACACCCCCGACCUCGUAUUGGAAUGACACAAGCCCUACCCCCUAACAAGACACGCCUACCCAUACCCAUACUAGGCACCAGUGGAUUGGAUCUUAAGUCAACAAAUCAUGAAACAACUCUCCCUUUAUCUGAAGCAACAAAUCAUUUCUUAUCUUGCGCUGAAGUGCCUACGUUAGCCUCAUCUUUCGAGCAGAGAGAUCUUACCAACAGUUGGACCACUCCCCGGGCCGGGCGCAACUAAUUCAUAUGGAAAUGGAACGGAUCUGCAUAUAUAGUAGGAAAUGCAACUCAAGUAAUGGAAACUACAUCCCUUUUGUCGACCUAAACAGAACUUUAAUAAUCUACAAGCCAAUACACCGACAGAUUCCACUCGCGAUUAAACUCAUUGACAACGCGCUGAGGAAACCAGUACUUUUGAGUCCUUUAACGCAAGUCAAGCUGGCUGAUAUACUCCCUAUAAGUUCACGCUUAUGCUUUUCUUCGCUUUAGAUCUGACUUACUUAACAUGCAUUUCAGAUUGAAGAGAAAUCCGGAAUCAAGCCGAUGAUAAGAAGUGGAUCUUCUUUAUGAGUUGCUUCGACAGAUAGCAAAGACUUCUCACUUAUAAGUCAAGUAAAGUAAAAGACUUCUCACUUAUAAGGAUAGUAAUAUUUCACGAGCGAGCUAAGCAAAUUCCAAUGAAAUAGCUGCCCCUCGGAGUCACUUUUCAAGGUUUUUAUAGUCAAGUGAUUUAGAAUAAGUUCGGAUAUAGGAUAGCCGAGUAAGCAAGCGCAUUCAGGGGCAUAGGAUAGCCGAGUAAGCAAGCAUUCGGGGGCAUAGGAGUGGAAUUCUGACCUUUGAGUUCACCCCGACCUCUCCUCUAACUCUAAACUCCUGCUGACCACUCCUGUUCGUUUUCAACCUUCAUUCUUAUCCAAUAACUCCCGGCUCAGCUAACUCAGGCUCAGAUCAUCUCUUUGAACUCUUUCUCCUCUCUUACAAAUAUACCUCCAUCUGUUCUCUUCUCUUGCUCAUCUAGCUAUGUCAACUAGUCCGCAUUUUGCCUCUGUCUCUUAUCCUCUACCUCUGUAAACUGCCAAGCGACUAGGCAAGUCCUGUUUAUUAGGGUUCUUUAUUAGGGUUCUCUUGCCGAAACUCACAAUAAGGGCCCGAGCUAACUCGAUCUUACUUACCGACCUCGACCUGGAACAGGCAAUUCCCCAGGCCAAGCUACUUACUAGACACUCAAUCCGGGCCUAGCUACUACUACUUCAAUCUGUUUCUUAUUUACCGCAAGCUGCUGGAUCCCGAGCGCAUAGCAAGUAAUAAAUACAUUAUCACAGCCUUUGGGAGUGCUUAUUUAGCCUAUGGCAACUUCCAACUAUUAACAGAAUUAGGCUAAUCUCACUCUUUCUCCUCUCCAAUGGAAUACCUCUGGCUCAUAUUCCUUAAUUCUUAUCCAAUAACUCUGGCUCAUCUAACUUCAAUCUGACUUGCUUCAUGAGGCUCUCUUCUCUUCUUGCCUUCAUCUCUUCUUCGGAGAAUUGAGACUUUAGUGACUUGGCCCGAUCAUCUAUAAUAAGAGUGGAAUUCAUAGUUGCUAGCUCAGCUCCUGAUACUGGAAAUUCUCUACUCCAAGCAUGGUCUCGAGCCGCUCUAAGACAACUACUACAGUUAUUGCUCUCAUCUAAUCUAAUAUCAAUACUACAGUUAUUGCUCUCAUCUAAUCUAAUAUCAAGUCCAGGUCCAGUAUCACAGUUGACUUUGGAACUCACUCCUACUGUUGCUCACCUAGUAACUUCCUUCUGGGAAUCGGUGGGCAAGGGAAGCUAAGCUAUAAGUACUUCAGUGAAGAAUUGAACGACUAACGACCAAGCAACGACUAUACCUCUUACCUAUUAGUUCCCCCACUUUCAGUUAGUUCUUACCUUAGACACAAGCACAAUCACCUCCCUCUCUAAACCUACCCGCCAAGCGACUCCUCAUGUUACGCGGCAGCAACAAAUGUACUCUAGUUGACUACCCGGUAAGAAUAGGGCUCCAAAUUCAUUAUUUACCAAAUUCUUAUAUGUUUUUAGAAGAUUGCCCAUUUCCACUAAUAAACUGGCCGGAUAAUGCAUUUCUUCCUAACAUCCUUAGGGUUCCCUUCGAGCUCGAGUAUAGCUUAUUUCUGCCAGACUUAUUUAAUGGUAGAAUCUUAUGUUCGAGUGAAAUCUUAUAAGGAAGUAGGUAACACCCAGGAUAGUUGAUAGGGAGUAUUUAUGGGCCAUUAGACCAGACCUAGCCCCUGAUUCUGUUGAUGACAGUAAACCCUUAUUCUGUUGAUAAAGCUUCUUCACCCGAUCCUGACUCGUUGCUAUAAACCAUAUUCUAUUGACUUCCAAACAAACUCCCGACUCGUUGCUAUAAACUGCUUCCUGCUAUAAUCCCACGGACUAAGAAGACAUAUCUCUUUUGAAUGCCCACUAUGUUAAGGGAAGAACAGAAUCAAGAUCAGAAACAUAAGCAAGAUCGGGCUUUGAAGAAGGAAUUGAUGAAUAAGCCUAAGAUGGAAAGUAGGCUGUCAUAUUUCUGACUACAAGUCGAGUUAGGAAGUCUGCUGUAAAUGAAGUGGAGGUAGCAGCGGUACAAAGAGGAGGUUUGCUAUAAGUGAUUCAGUUUCAAAGUACCUAGAAGCAUUGGUUACGGCUUAAGGAAAGAAAAGCUGUGGAUCUAGCCUAUUAGUAUUCAAAUAGAUAUUAGCUCGUAUAGGCAUAUAAGAACUGUUCUCGUUGGCUCUAAGUGAGGAUCAUAAGCUUCCAGAAGGUAUAGAUUGUGGGUAAUAUUCCUUAUUUAGAUACGACUACUAGGCGCUGCGCUCAAAAGAUUCAAUGAAUUCUUAAGACAGUGGAGUUUAGUCCUUAGUUGAUGCUAGUUAACGAGUUGAUCAAAGUGAAAGUGCUAACGGAGCUCUUGUUGGUGACUUGAACCUUCUUCUCGGCUUGAGAAAAGAGCUAGAACCAGAAACUGUAAUAAUAAUGAACCGGCAUCUGAUCCUGCUCCUAGCGGUAAGUAAACUAUAUGAAUUAUAGCAGUUAGAAAAGUGUGAAGUGACUUCGAAUACUUACUUAUACAUAUAAGGACUAUGACUUAUUACUAAUAGUUAUAGGAGUUAGGAGUUCAAUUCCAUACCUGAGUUAUGAGUUAGUCGUACUUAUCAUUGCUUCACACAAGUCAAACUUUCGAGUUGCUUGCCCACUUCUAGUCGAGUUUCAUCCUAGUUUGCUACUCAAGAAUCAGAGGUUAAGUCGGCAGCAAGCGCAUCUGUUAAACAAGCCAAGUCAGCAGCAAGACGUUCACCAAGUUUAGUUCAGGGAAGAAAAGAGGACAAGACAAACUACAUAAAUAACAUAUAAUAAAGGUACUCCACUUGAAGCAGAAAAAUCCGCAGUGCGCUUGUUAACUACACGAGUUAUAGCAUUUGAUAACCACAGAGAUAGGUCGCUGAACCAGAAUCAUUCGCUGAGUAUGAUAUAUGAGUCCUGUUUCUUUCACUCUCGAAGGAAUACUUGCCAGAAAUGGGAACCUCCACUAUGGCUAACAACUCUUUGAUCGAAUACGAGGGAAAUACUGGGAACGGUCUCUUAUCCGGAAAACAAGACAAGGGGAUGCUACAACACUCGGGAGAACCUCUCCUAUCGAGCUGAGAUAACCUCUUUCAAACAAUCUGAUGGGAGAGCUCAAAAGGAAGUAUAACUAGGAGUCGAGGGGGAACUCAAAGAGGAAUGAACGGAAGAAGGGAAAGGGCCAAGCAACUGGACAAGCUCACCUCUGAGUUUCAUUAUGUAACUACUUAGGUCAAUUCUAACUUUUGGAAAUAGGACCUGGUUGUGUUGGCGAUAUAGGAGAAUAUGGGUAUGUAUGAUCUAUAGGGCCAUACUCAGCAUAGGUACGACUCAGCAGCGCAUCUACCAAUAUGAAUAUAGGUCUCAGAGCACUAAGCAACGAAUAAGUAAUAGGACAGAGAGCCAAACUCCGCUGUAUUGGAAUUCUGGGCACAAGAAUAUAGCCAGUAACAAUAAUACUUUUCACCCAGCGCUAGCAGGAAUCCGCCUAGUAAUAUAGAAUUCACCUAGUAAUGAUAAGACCUUAGCUUCACGCGCCUACCUUACUUGUAUUCUAGAACUCCAAAUAAUCAGAAUUGCACCAACAAAAGAUAGACUGACCUUACUAAGCAGCAGAAGAAUAAAAGCAUAGAUCCAGUUGGAAAGCGAGGAGAGUUUUAGUGAAAGUGCCGCGGGGAGGACAGGCUAUUAGUUAGCAGCUCCAUUCUGAUAGUAAUAAGUGGAUCGGAUCUCUAAUAUGCCCCAAAAGCCUAGUUCCUAUUUACGAGUUGUUGUCUUAGAGAUAGCUGCUACAGCCUUAGUUCUGAGUCGAGGUCUUAUUAGUAGUAGGACCCAAUCCGAUGUAUCUGACUUUCUAGUUGUUCUCUUAGUACUCGGUGAGGCAGUCAAUUCUUCAAUGAAAAUACUUUUAGAAGGAACACACCAUAGGGUUGGGCAAGAAAGAGUUAUUUAUAGUUAAUACAAGUUAUGUUGAAUGGAGCGUUAGACUGAAGCUAUGCAUUGAAGGCAGGAGCCUAAGAAGUUAGGUUCGCAAGUUAGGCUUAGUUGGUGUAUCGGGAAUGUAGGAAGAAUUGCCCUAACCCAUAAGAAUUGGCUGUUGGGUUCUGUACUACUGGUCUGUUACUCUAGUAGCUUAUUCCGUGUUUUCUUAUAUUAGAAUUCGUUUUCUCAUUAAAACGACUUCCCUUUCUACUCUAGUUUGGGUGACUUUACUUUCCUUUCCACCCUUAGGAUGCAACACCAACAGCAUCUUGGAUCUUGACCCUAAAACGGAGGUGAGGACUUCGCUUCAACAGAACUAGUAACCCCAUUAUAAUACUGACUAAUAGGAGUUAGCGUUAAGUAACUUGUUAGGAGUGAAAUUCCAUACCGGUACAAAUACUAAUCUCUAUCCUAUUGCUUUUAUGCACAACACCUUAUUUUGAGUGGCUUGGCAGAGCAAGAAAACCCUCAAAUAAUGGAAUUGGAAGCUGGUUUGAUCUAUUCCUAGCGUUUUCCCUAUCAUCUGAUCUUCCCCGUUCAAUAAAUGCAUUUCAAGCCUAUAAAACAGGGCAGCGUUUCUUGUCGUCUUGUCGGCUUGGCGGACCAGUAGUAGACUCAUCGACAACAAAUACAUAUGAAACUGCUUUAGAUCCCAAUCCAGAUCUGGUUCUUGCUUUCUGCUUUAGCUUACAAACUUGCUCCUUCUUUUUCUGUAACUGGCAAUUCUCCUAAUUAAGAUCUGUCAACUGUUUCUUAUCCUUCUCCCGCUUCGCUUACAACUGACUUAGGAACUGCUGAUUCAGUUACUGUGGAUUCUAUCUCUUAUUGACACCUUGGACUACGGGCAAUCAGUCCAUAUAAGGUCAAUCAGUCCAUAUAAUAAUACUUACCGCAGCACAAGUACCAAAAGAAACGAAACUGGAUUUACUUGUUACUGACUUGCUAUAUGGUGAAACUAUAACCCAAAUAGAUUCAAGUUCAAGGACAGAAACGCUUGUUGGCUCUUCUAAUGCUUUUAAGCCUAUCAUCUUUACCCUUUCGAAAAGAAUCUAUUUCUGGCAUAUAAGAUCUAAUUGAAUAGCAAAACUCACUUCUUAUACUACUGCUGACACAAACUCUCUCACGUGAGCUCCUGUUUUCGGCGUUAGUGUUCGAAAGCCUAAAGUUCACUAGUUUGUUCAAAAGCCUAAAGUUCACUAGUUUGUUCGAAAGCCCUUUUUGACUCUUAACCAACACUAGGAUCUGAAGCCGCCCUUACUAAUAGUGCCGAAGAGAAUGCCCACAGAGGGAUCAGAAGGUGGUAGCAGUGCAAGGACUGGAAAUUCCACUUGUGCUUAUUGUUCUCCGGCUUCUUUUGAACUCAUAUUCUAUAAGAAAUAAGGAUGCGCCUAGCCCUUAAGUAAAUGGGAGUAAAGAUCAGCUCUUUUAGAAUGCCAAGUUCCUGUUCUCAAGUAAAGGUAUAAAGGUGUUUGCGUGGGAAGGGCCAAGCUUCGUUUUGAGUUGCGCUAAGGAGCCCGGGGGGAGUUUCAUCCCGGCUAAGUAACUGCUACAAACACAUAACAUGUAAUAGACGACUGAUGAUUCUUUCUAAGCCAAUACCCGAACAAGAUUUGUAGGGAACUUUCCAAUUGCAGCUAACUAUUGAACUGCUUUUGAUGCUUCUUCAGCAGAUCCUUAUUCCGCUUCCUCACCAGAUCUAGCUGUUGCUUAUGAUCCUACUCUAUAUUCUAAUUCCACAGCAUAUUAUAGAGUUCCUACUCUGACUCUUUAUCCUGUUUCCUCUCUUUCCAUUCUUAUUGUCAACUUACUAGAAGGGCCUCCACUCCCUUACCUGUCAACAGGACCACUACCUAGCGCAACUCUCUCUUAAUUAUGACUUGAAACUAGAGCUCUCCUUUCUGACCCUACUCUAGCUGACCCGACUCUUGCGCCUUAAGGAUUUACUUAUUUGUUUGAUCCUCUCGACUUGCCUCGUUGCUUGGCCCUGUCACAAAUGCAAAUACGGAGCUUCUAUCUCGCUCACUUUAUACUUACCUACCCUAUGGGUAUUCGAAAAGAUCUGAUAUAGUAGACUUCACUCGUACUCCAAGAUAUGAUACUGAUUCACUAACCGUUGAACCCAACACCACAGAGUGGGCAUUCUCUUCUGAAUAAGCAACAUUCUUUUGUUUCGCAAGUCCCGUUUUUCACGUUAAUGAGCGGGCCACUGACUUGGAUCCAGCUUAUGUUCUGCUUUCAACCUAUUCUUUACCAGAUUAUAUAUGAUACUUUCCUCUUAUUGACCCGUGCAGACUUUCUUUCUCGUAGACCAACUAAGGGAAAGCCUAUUAACUAUACUAUACGACAAAGAGCUACUACAGCAGAGUAUUUGAAGUCGCACCUCUCUCCACUCGAAAUACAGAAUGCAACGGGGCCCCCGGGACUACUACUACUGGGCUGGGCUCGCUGACCAAAUCAUUCUACUAUCAACUAUUGGCAAAGAAUGAACUGAGUACCUGGAUGCAAGGGACCGAUCGCCAACAAUUUCUUACUACCACUCACCGGCAAGCUACUAAGAGACCCCAAACCCUAACAAGCUAGUAAGUCAACAAAGUCAGUCCACCACCCUAACCACCAAGCUUAGUAUAGACUAUCUGAUUGCCCAAACUCCCCUUCCCUUGUGUUGCCCAGUCCUACCCUAUAGUAUAGAAUUAGAAUAGAGUCAAAACUACCACUUUGCUAUAAAAAACCCUAGAAUGAGAAUGGAGUCAAAACUACCACUUAUUCCCUUUCCACUCAUGGCAACGUACUAACAAACGGAUUUGCUUAUAUUAUAUGAAUAUGAGUCGACUUGUCCGCUUUUGUAGCACCACUUCUGGCUUAGGUUAGCUUGUAAGAUUCUUCCCCUGCCCCCGGAACUUGACUUUCGAACUGAGGAUUCUCUUGUUUCCCCUGCCCUGGCCCUUGCUUUAGUUCAUUCUUUUUCUACUGCACUGGCCUCUCCUUCUGACUUACAGUAGUACUACCGGUAUUAGGCCUCUACUUCUGCCCUAUUAUUAAGUACUGCUUCCAAAGAUGAAAGUAGGUCUGCUCAUUCUAUUCUAUAUAUGACAACUAAGCUUCUAUAUAUGACAACUAAGCUAAGGUAAAGCCAAUUACCGAACCUAGAUAACACUCAGACACAAUACCGAACCUAGAUAACACUCAGACACAAUAACUAUAAGGGGCAAAGGCAAUCACUCACUCUCAGGCUUCUCCGAUUACCCACAUCGAAUGAGUUUUACCUAGACAAUUAGUUCAUUUGAAACAAGGGAUAUGAAAAGGGUCAAACUCCGUUUCCAGUUCUGAAGGAAGCAAGCCAUAGAGCAUAACCAGAAGCCAAAGUCAGUUUCAACUGAUUCCUCAAUUGGUUAUUAGAGUUCGGGUGCUUCAAGCCUGCAGUUUCUUAACUACUGUUUCUAGGGUGUUAACUAAGUUGACUUUGCGUUCUGCUACUACUCACUUGGAUUUGUACUAUACCUUAUAUAUAAGUAAGUCUGUACUUGCCCUUCCACUAGUAUUCGUUCCUUUAGCCUACCUUUACUUGCAAUAAUAUAAGUCCGGCUUUACUUGCUUUUAAACUCACGAAAUAUCUCUUCUUUCCCCCUGCCCCUACUACUUGGAAGGCUAUAUCACCACUGUGGGGCAUGAUCCUGGCUUUCCAACUGUCGCUACUUACCGAAAAACUUGCUUUGCUUCACUUACCUCUGCAGUUAACUCUCAUUCUGUGGGACGUCCCUUGCAUUUAUGAUUACCAGACUAUUUACUUAUAGAUCAAUACUAACAAUAAGCAAUCGAGGAAUACUGAAUUGAGCUGGGGAAAAGGAAUACUGUUCAUAAGUGAGAGAAUGCAACUGUGCGAAUAAGGUGCUGAAAGCCUAGGAAGCCAAAGAAUGGAAUGUCUGGCCAGUUAAGAUAGUUUCGAGUUAGAGCUAGUUAACCUCACAGGUAGUUUCAGCUUCAAAGUAAGGAUUCCACUCAACUCACUCAGUAGUAUAAGAGUCAAAACCUAGAGUGGAAGCAUCAAAAUCCAACUAGUAAGUAAAAGAACCAACCAGUAGGGGCGUGGAUUCGCUCUAAAGUCAGGAUACCUACAAGACUCUAGGUAGUUAUAUCAAAUUCCAUAAGGGAUGUGAUUCUCUAACACUGGGGUACAGUACAUACCCUGGCUGAUAAUAAAUGCAGGAUACUGGCCCGGGGUGUACUACAGGACCUAUAAGACCAGACAAGUAACUACAACUCGGGAGCUACAUUCCUCUCAACACUAACUCCUGUCCUGUCUCUCGUUCUUUUACUCCCGAUACGACCUAGAGCAUCUACUAAUAGAAUAAAGAUCGAGUGUCUCAUAUUAAGAGAAUUCAAUCAAUAACAGAAGGAAUUGCCCUAAGAAGUAUCAGAAUGGAGUUAAUUGGUAUCGGCCUAGGAUUGAUACAAACAGAGGCGCACAGAACAAGGGCUUAUUCUAAUAGUUUGAAGAGAAGGUGGGAAGUUGCUCAGAAGCUAAAACAAGGUAGUAGAACAUAGAUUCACACUUCAAAGGAGGCCAGUAAGCCUGGGAGACCAAAGUGACUAGUUUCAAAACGAGUUCCGUCAUAUUUAUAGGUGAGUCAAUAAGGACGAGGACAUAGUUGGAGGUGCACAUAGGAAUUCGAAUAAGUAGUUGUCUUGGGAGUUAGGUGCGGAAGGGGCAAAGGUCAGGAUCAAACUCCAGAGUCAGACAGCCGGUAAAGAACCUGUGUUAGUACAUUCUUUCGGUAAAGAACUAGUAUUAGUACAUUUAUGGAAUAUUACCCGCUCAUCAAUUGAAUUAAUAACUUAAAGGUGGAGGCGAGGUCCGCAAUCAGAGAGGGAAGUUCCCUUCAAAGAGCAGAGUUCUGGUGCAAAAGUGAUCACCACACCAACCAAGAGAUUCAGUUGGCGCUGCGUAGUUAUUUGUUUCUAUGCUCGGUAAGUGCUCGUAAGUGCUCGUGCCCCAAAGUAAUAAUGGAAUGGAAGGAUUUAAUGAUCAACUGCCAAAGUGAGAGUUAGAGUUGACAGAAACAGGACUUGCUUGCUGGAGUAGCUUAGCUAGUGUUAUUCCUAUGUUGUAGUUUCAUCCGCUCCCCCAAGUAGUUCAUUCUGACUUCAGUGGUGCCCCCCUUUUUCUUCUGGCUUUUGUAUACGUUGCUUGGCGUCUAGUCGUUGCUUGGCCCUCGCAUUCCCGUUCUCUUGUUUAAACCUUCCUAUACAGCUUGGCAUUCUGACUAUCUUUGAUCUAAUUCUCCAAUGUUGUCCCCCGGUCCUGCAAGGUUGUAGUAAAUAGCCUAUAUAGCCUAUAGGAUAUGGUAGGUAUGAUCGAUCCCGUGCACCUAACAAUUCAAUAAGAAACUGGGAUUUCCACUCAUGCUAACAAGACCCAUACUACUCACUGGGAAAUCUGCUACUUACCUCAAAGCUGUCCUACCUAGCUCUUUGAUUCUGUAACUGAUGCCUAUAAGCCUGUUUACAAUAACUCAUAUAUAUAUUCUUAAUAACCCGCCGAUCAGUCACCGAGCAAACUACUAACUACUAUAGGAAUCAAAUAACAACUAACAAGAAUAAACGGUGUGGGCAACCUUCUACUAUAAGACUUUCCUCUGCUAAGGAAGAAUCAAAACAAAGCCAAGGAAGCAAGCUACUCUAUAAGAAGAACAGGCUUACUUUACUUAAUUAAUUAGACUUGAGUCCGACUCCGAGACUCCUUGAUCUCAGGCUUGCUUUUUGUUAGUUAAUUCAUUAUUCUGGGAUAAGGCAUUAAAAGCGGUAGCUGGCUUCUCCGCUGUAGCUCGCUUCUCAUCCUAGUACCAAAGCCUUGUUGACACCAGUCCCAUUCUUCUGUUGACUUGUUUGAUCCCGAUUGACAUUAUUCGAGUUCUGUUAUUAUAUGCGCGCUACGCCCACGGACCUAAUUCUUAUACUGAUUAGCUUCAUUCUGUACAUGCACCGGAUCAUACCAUCAUACCCUAGCACCGGAGCAUACCAUAUGACCCUAUAGGCUAUUGACUCCAACUUGAAAUACACCUAUUCCAUUGACUCCAACUUUACAUACCUAUUGUUUUAGUAUCAGUGAACUAAGGUUGUUUUAGUAUCAGUGAACUAAGGCCCUAUACUACAUUGCUAGUGCACCUAGGUAUAACAAUUAGUAUUAGGGUAGAAUAAAAGCACAGAACUCAAUUAAUUGCUACUGGAAAGAAUCAGACAAAGAAAUAGGGCUUUUGACUAUUACCUACAAGAAUUGAAGCUACCGCUUUUAACAGUAAAACAAAGAAAUAGGACUACUUUAGCUACUGGCCUCGAGUCCCUGUGCUUAUUGGUUGAAACUGAAACUCAGGACUUGACUUCUUAUCGCUACCAACACUAGUCUUAGAUCACUGCUACUACAUCCCUACUCAAAGCGAUGGCACCUUAACACUUAAAGCAUUACUUGACUGACUUUAAAACAAGUACUCUAGUAUACAUUACUUGCCUAUUUCUUACUAUGCAAUCCAACGAGCGCUUCCAAUCUAAUGAAGAAUCCCACAACAGCAGAUAAGAAUACGACUUACAGCCUAUGAGCCUUAUCUUACUUGCUUCGACUCUAAUACCCUGGGCACUUUCUCUAUAUCUCCUUUUGCUCUAACUCCCUUAUUGCCCCUUGCACCCGGGCUUGUUAAGCUAAAGAAUCGAAUUGGCACCGAUAAUACUACCACAACAAUACUGGAUUUCUUUCUUUCCUCCCCGCUCGUACCUUAUCAAACAAACCCUAGCUACCCCAAAGCAGGGCUCUACGAAACAGAAAGUAUCAUGGCUUUCAGCUCCUUCCUUGAAAAUGGAACUUGUAUCUGUCUUUUAAGGAUCAAUAAUGGCAACAAGUAAAGCGGCAAAUCCUUCUCCAAACUCACGUCUGAACUGACUCGCCGACGCACAACAUAAGAAAGAAUGGAAUAUGAUCUGUGCUUUGCCUGAUGAUUUACAGCUUGACCUUUGCUUUGUUAGUGCUUCUGUAAUGGACUUUUCCUUUGCCUGAGACAGCUUUCCCGAGUAGCUCGCCUUCUUCUUCUCUUAUUGGGUCCUAUCCUUACCCUAUCAAUUCUUCUUUGAUCUACUUCCGGAGGGAAAUCAAUCAGUAUCAAGAAAGCUCUAUCUCUAUAAGCGGGGGAAUGAAAUCAUCUGAACUAAACAAGCAACGGCAAAAGCUACGGAAUAAACAAGCUACGGAACAAGCUACGUAACAAGCUCCGGAACAAACUACUAUUAAUGGAUAGCUAACGGAGAACAAGGCAAUAAUGAAUGAGUCUAGGAUAGGGUUUAGCUGCCAAUAAAGAGCAUUUUCAGAAACUUCAACAAGCAAGAGUAUCAUAGAUGAGCGGUUAAACAAGCGAGUAUCAUAGAUGAGCAAGCAGAUAAUGUGAAUCUAUUAGAUCAUAUGCGAGAUAGAUAAAAUUGGGUAGCUUCCAACUCUCCCGUCUUUCUUCUUGUAAUGGUGGCUUUUGACGAACAGUUGGCUUUAGUUCAUUAUAUCGUAAUUCCUUAAGUAAAGUAAGUAAUUCAUUAUAAGUGGGUGGAGUAACUAACUGUGCCGAUAUUAGUUAUUCAAGCUUUCUUUCUUUUAUUUCACCAGCAAACUCAAGCUGAAAAGAGAAAACCUCAUUGAAGCUUAUGAACGAACCGAACCCAUCUUCCAAAUUGCUAACUAAAGCUUGACAUCACCCUCCAAUAGUUAAGAUAAUAGAAUCUUUCUAGAGAAUUGAAUAUUUACAUCUAUUGAUAGAUAAUAUAAUAUUGACAUCUAUACUGAACCGAGACCUUAACCUCUGCUAAAUCUCUUGGUUUGGUUCGGUUGUCCUCUUUGCUAGCCGGAGUAUACCACUAGUGAAAAACCCUUUGAAGAGACAAGGGAUCGAUGUCGCUAGGCGAGGUCAACUCUAUCAUUGUUCUCCCUUAAUCAAUAUAUAAAUAAGCAAGGCAAGUUGGGCUACAACUAUCCCGAUGCAGCAAAGAAAGCUAGGUCGUGCUCUUAUCGCGGGGAAAGGGUCGACUCCGAAAGAUCAGAGAAAGAACAAGAACCACAUUUGAUCCACACUUAUAGCUAAGAGCGGCUUUUUGAGCUACUAUACUGGCGCUCUCAACGUCGCGCAGCUUUUUCAUCUUAGUAAUCCAUACUCUCGGGGACCUGGGGCAACCAAUAAGAAAGACUCUAUCAUUUAAUGGUAGUUGAGUGAAGAAUGAACAAGUAACGGCUUGCAGCAACAAACAAUGGAACAAGCUACUGUGCAAGUACAAACAAUGAGGCUACUAAGCUUUGGAGUGUGCUGUUAGUGAGCUCUCAGGGCAGUAAAGGCGUUGCGAAAGACAGAGUCGUCUUGAAAAUCGAGUAUUUGAAUCCCUUGAAGAGAUUGUGUUUCAAUACAAUAAAUGCCGAUUCUGAGAAAAAGCUGUAAGCAAAGCAGUGUUUUGAAUCCCUGGUUCAUCGCAUUUCGCCUGCUUUGAUUAGGACUUUUUUGCCAGGUUCUUUCACAGUUAACAAACAACCAUUGAAUCCUGAAGUGACGGAACUACCAAUCCCAAUCAAAGGUCCUACUCCUAUUGACCUUGUAGCAGAUUCGAUAACGGAAUUAGUGCUCUAACAGAAGAGACUUGCUUAGGUCACACCUUGAUCUUAUCCUCCGAGUGCCAAGCUAACUUUAACUAGGAUUCGUUCACAGAGAAAGAUUCGGUUCUUCCUUCUUUUGAUCUUAUCCCGCAACUGCCCCUAGGAAAGAAAAGAGAAAUCCCAGUCUUUAUCAGGUCCGGAUCAGGGAACUCCUCUUUCUAUGCUAAUAGUUUAGUCCUACCUAACUUUAUGUUGAUUGAUACUCGAGAGUAAGGUCAAAAAACAAAGAGUAAGCAAUCGAAGACCUAUUCAUUCUAAUGCCCACUUAUCUAAUCUAAGUUAAGUUCAUUUCGGAUUCAAUCGAUUCUUCCCACCCAUGUGUAGCCUAUGCGAAGCAAGCCAAGACUGGGCUCACAUAUAUCCUAUUCCUCUUAUUGCUGGCAGAUUAUAUAAACUAUUGAUUUGAUUAUAUAAACUAUUGAUUUAUAAACUAAACAUAAGGCAGAGAUAUAGAAAUGUGGGAAUCGUGGAAAAUGAUGUCACAUCACAGCACCUCCCCUCGCUCCACUAGCUAGGUAACUCCUUUUCUAAGCUAAGAAAGCAGCAAAUCAGCGCAAAUAGGCUCUCCUAUCAUUCCCUCCACUUUCUCUUAUAUAGUAAGUAUGGAAUAUAGUCAGUAUGGAAAGUGCUCUUAUAUAGUUAGUAUUGCAAGUAGUCAAGAUGCCAGUGCCUAUGAUAUUGCCCUUCCUUCUCUUGUGCCGGGCGUGUGAAUCUGGAACCAAAGGACUACUUCUCGUGAUGAGCUAUUUUCAGGAAUCUUUCGCCUUCGAAUUUCUUUCAUCACCCUUUUGAUUAGUUUGAACAAGAGAAACUUAUUAGUUUGAACAAGAGAAACCGCGAACAGCUCUUUGCCUUUCUGCUUCAAAGAAAGAGGUGGGGAGAACCAUCAGUUUGGAGCACCCAUAAAGCUGGGGAAAUGCCUUUUAUGAGCCGCCUACCCUACCUAUACGCAACUCUCUCUCAUUGAUUAAGCCUGCCUGCCUGUGAGCCAUAAGAUGAGUUCUGGUCCAAGAGAUAGGACCCACGGUUAUUGAACUUACGUUCCCCGGUUCGGUUAAGCCCGUUAGUAGGGGCGAGCGAGAGCUGAUUUCGCUUUGAAUCCAACUCUGAUCUUAAUGCACCCGAAAAGAAAAACCAUAGGAAUUGCUGAACCAUCGCUAUCGCUAAAGUAAGGAAGAGUUGAGUUAACGAAAGGCCAUGGGGAUAUCGUUGACUCACUUGAACCUGUUGGCUUUAGUUUCCUUAUAUAUGAAAGCGGGAGUAAAGCAAGGAAUUUCUGCCAUAGACAGCGCAGCAAGUGAAUCAGAUGUCGGACUUCUCUCUCGAGAGAUGAGGCGAAUUGAUAGACCAAUGGGGGGCCAAGCAACAGCCUGUAAUGCCUAAGCACCAGCCUAAGUAUACCCAGCAGCAGGCUUAGAUUAUUACUUGCUUCAUUGUCCUGUGCCACUCGGAAUACAGAUUACUUAAUGCGCGUUUCACCUCAUAGGGAAGAAUCGAACAGGUGUUUAUGCGGGCGUCAUAGGGCAGCUAGGGUGAUGUUUCAUUCUGUAUUUCCUUACAGAGUAGCCGGCUACAUCCCGAGUUCAAUCCGUUAUUGAAUCAGUUCGCGGAAGGUAGAAAACGGAAUACAGUUAUUCAAGAAGAAAGUAAGAAGGACAAUAGGCACUGUUAUCUACUACUGGAUCAAGACUAACUUACCAAGACAAACUUCCCAGGCUUAUGGUCUUGCUUCCUUGUCAGUGGAAUUAGUAUUUGUUAACUACGGCGAAAUUGGUACUCCCCAGUCUUGUGUUUUACAGUUAUCAUAUCUUUAUUACUUGCUAUGUGUUCGGCCAUCAAUUGUUCAUCGAUUGUUAUAAUGAAAUGGCAUCUCCUUAGAAGAGGGAUGGAUCUUGGGCAUUCCAUUCUUUUAAGAGUGGGAGACUCAGAGGAUAGGUCAAUACCAGAGAAGAGAGAGGCAAGGGAUACUUUAUUACUUAGUGCAGGACCGCUAGUCAAUCAAUGUGAUGCGCCAUAUCCAUAUAUUAUUAUUAAUGCACCUUAACCUUUUAUAGCUUCUGUAGUGAGUGACGAUCAGAUUGCCCCAUUUCAUCUUUAAUAACAGAAUGAGGCUCCUGUCUCUAUAAGUAUUAGAUAGUAUAGGAAGUGGGCCCUUAUAAUAAUUGCUAGCGCAUUCCCUUAUCUAAUCUAUUAAUUCCACUUAGAGGUCUUAGACAGCCCCUAAAGAUAGAGAGAGUAGCUACCCCUCCGCUCUUAUCCUAACCAAGUAGUCAACAAAUAAUUCAUUGGAUCUUCUCUUCUCUGCGACAAACACUCGAAAGAAACUCGUAUUCAUUUCUGGUGUUGGGCAAGAAGGAGAUUCGAGAGUCAAUUCGGCUUCUUUUCUUAAGCGAAUCCAGUUUUCGGGCCCAGACUCUGUGGUGGCGGCGUCAAGGAAAGUUUCAGAAUGAAAUAUAGUCGCUGAAAGUGAGAUUUUACAGGUACUCUUUGUUAUACGAGCCCCUUGCACCUAAGCAUUCAGUCUUAUCUUAUUCUUUAACAAGUAGUAGUCCAGGCAACUACUAGACUCGCAACGGGACAAGCCACUACGGAUGAAGAUAAGAAGUUUAUUACUUAUACUGAUAGGACAGGCCCAGACUAGAUAGGACUGGCCCAUACUCAGUGGCUAAAGCGAGGCGCGUCAGGGAGCUCAAUAGGAACUCUAAAGUCUUGUUCAAGUGAUAGGGCUGGGCGACAGAAUAGAGGUUAGUGCGGAGAGACAGUAUAGUUCGGAAAUGCAAAAGGGGCAGAACUCGCAUUAGCAUCAAUGGCGAAGUAUCAACUUAUCUAACUGUGCUGUGCUGCUGUGCCGAUAUGAGUAAUUAAAGGAAGGAAUGAGAAUGAGAGAAAGAAGCUUGUGUUAAGCUUAAUUAAAGGAAGAGCAAUGCUGUGAGUUGAGAUAAAAAGCAAGGGUAGUGUUCACAAGAUCUAUAAUUUCUAUCUUAUAUAGAUGGGAGAACGGAUUCCACAUUCUAUCUAAUUACAAUUCCACUCACACUCUUGCCUCCUACCUCUCCACUUAUUAGAGGUUAAGGGUUUACAAGGGAAGCAGCGUACUUAAGAAUAGGGCUGAAGGAGAGGCUAGUGUACUCAUGACGGAUAUUCUUUUUCAUAGCUUCCCUUAUUCCUAUAUAAAGAGAAAGAUUGCAUUUAGUAGGUGCCAAGCGACUACUAGACAAGUAGACAACCAACCACUUUGCUGCUUUAGAGCCCUAUAGGUUAGCGCUAGAUGUAGUACCUAAUUCCAAUAUGACAACUUGUUCUAUUAAUGUCCGUAUUCCAUUCUUCUACUUACUUGUUUGAUUCUCACUUUCCCACUUGUUAGUUCAAUUCAGUAUCUGUUCUGUUGCCAGCAGGGUUCAAUGAUGAGUUGCGAGUUAGCAGAGAUGAGCUAGUAUAUGCUAUUUGGAGUACCCAUUCCUUUGACAAGCGUAUACUAAUGACCAAGCUAGUGACCGAUUCCAAAGGUAUAAAUUCUCUGAUCAUGAAGAAGCUUUCUCUCUUUGUCUUUGCUUUGUAGUAGUUGAUUGGCUCUGUUACAUACUUGUUAGGCAGGUUUACUUCACUUGAGUAGUCAAAAGAGAGUACUGGCUUUGAUACAGAAGAAAGAGAAGGAGAAGAGUUCAUUCUGUAUUUGAAGCCUGAGUUAGCUGGAGAUGAGCAAGAAGUAGAGGAGCCAUCCAGAGUUAUGAAAAAGUAGAUGAGCUAUAGGUAAUAGGUAGCAUAGAAGUUAUAAGAGAUGAAAGAGUAUAUAGGGAUGAAUUCGUAUAUGCCCUGUCAAAGGGACAAGAAACUUACCGGUAUUACUUGCUAUGUGUUUGUGGGAGACAAUAGGACAGGUAUAAAGGACUGGAAGGAUAGAAAGCAGACACAAGUCACAGGUGUAGUUAGUUGACAGAGGAGAGGCGGGUUCGGUGCCGAUAUCCGUUUUUAAAGCAAUGCAGGAGUUAUGAGUUAGUGUAUGAAGUAGUAAAUAGGCCAAGAAAGUGAGUUGUUGCUAGUCGGCUUGUCUAGGGAAAACUCAAUAGUAUACGCUUUGCCCAGGAAUAGCUGAACUAGAAGGAUAGGAAGUAUUUGUUUCAAGAGGAGAGGAAAGUAACGUGAGAGUUUCAAGAUCUGGUAAAGAAGUGGAAGUUGAGUAUCUACUAGAAUAUUGUAAAUAAGAAGGAUAAUACUUAGGAAGUAUUUCUUUUAAGUGCAGCAGCGAUAUAUUCUUAAUCAGCUGUUCGAGUUUUGUAAACCAGAGAGAGAGAAUCCGCAUCCGCAGUUCUUGUGAAGUCUACUCGAUUAGAAUAUGGUAAAGAAUCUGGUUAAAGAUGAGAAAGAAGCUCUGUAUUUGCAUAGUUUGAUCUCUGUUCAAUGACUCGAUAUCAGGGCUCAGAUCUCCGUUUAGGGAGUGUGAGUGUAGUUCGGUUUCAAGUUGUUUUAUAUAGAAGCGAGAAGAAGCUUCAAUUAUGGAAUCAUAGGAUUGAUCUGCGCAAAGUAACAUUCUGUCAACUCGAGAAUCUGAUGGAGCAGGAGAAGGAUCUUCAGCAGUGCGAGAGUAAGUAGCAUGCGGUUCUGAAAGGAGAGUUCGCCGGGGAUACUUCGAAAAAGAAGCCUUAUUGCCUUGACUUGGAUUAUAGGUUGUUGCUUCUGUAACUGCACCAUUGGUUGUUGCUUCUGUAACUGACCCCCAUUUGAGAGUUCUCUACCACAUUAAUAGAAGCCUGACUCCAAACUUGUUGCCAUUAUGGAUAAGCUAGAGGCAAAGUCACCUGUAUUCUGCUAUCCUAUUAUACAGAGCUAAUGAUUCCGCUUGAGUGGAAUUCGCCUUAGUAGUAGAAAAGAAAAGUACAUAGGCAGCUAAGCUAGGAAGGACUAUGUUUACUACCCGGAUACAAAGUAAGCAAGCGAAGGAAGUAGAUCGGCGGUAGAGUCUUAGAAAAAAGAAGAAAUAUAAAGAUCUUCCAACUAGAUCAGGAUCAGAUGCUGUUGUGUUGAAAGAAAGUCUGCUGUUAAGCCUGAAAGUGUAGUUCUUGACUUGACGUCUACAGGUGCUUCUCAAAUCUAAGAAAUCUCAGUUCCAGGAAAGUAUACGAGAAAAUCCGUCUUAAGGAAUUACCCGAAGAAAGGUAGAGUGAGGAGUAACUUCACACUGGAAAGGAGGUAGGCAUGGGAAGAGCAGUGCGAGGAAAGGGGAAUUCAAAGGCAGCUAAUCAGCGGGAAAGAAAUAAGGGUUCCGGGCAGAAUAUCUGACUUCUGAAGCUGGAAAAGAAGCUGUUCCUAUUGAAUCUGCAGGUGAGGAAUUAGGACCAUCGGAAAGAUCUUAUUAAUCUGUCUUUAUUGGCUCCGAGGGAGGUCAAUUCUUAAAUGACAACUUCACAACCCUGCUUGAACUUAAUCAAGAUUCUUUCCCCCGAGACUUCUGGAACUUUACUUGCGGACUUAGAGCUAGAGCACCAACACAAGUCUCUCCUGACGCUAACUUCUCUUGAAGACUUCCCACCCACUUGCAGCACUAGCAGCUUCUGGAAGUUCUGACAAUGCCCUCUUUUCUCGUAGACCUAAAAUUCAUAGUAAGGGUCCUGCUUGCUUCUUUACUUUAUAAGAUGAAACAAGGGAAUAAGAUUCAACAAACAGUAGUUGUUAUGGAGUCCUAUGAACUUUAUAUAUAAUGUUAGGCGGCAGUAAAGUCUCCUCACUUUCCUCGUACCGACAAGUCAAUCCCCUCUAUAGACUGAACUUUGAGAUCUAGAUACAAGCAACUUAACUGGAAAUCGUACUAGAAACUAUAAGGAGCGUAAGCCUUAUACACAAGCACUUUCACCUUUAUUUACUGAUUGAAACCCUUUCUGCCCUUCCUGAACUUUACUUGAGAACAGAAUACUAACGGAGCGAGGAUCUACCUGUUGCGUAAGGGCAUCUACUCAUUGCAUUGCUUCUUUGAAUUAAGUACUCGCCUAGCUGCCUUGCUUGUUUUAAGAACUCAGAUAGGCACGCACAGUUGGCCUAGUAGAGUAAUAAAAGAGUAUGCACCUAAUAAAGUAACAAUAUUCUCAACUCCUUAUGAAAUCAAUCAAAUCAAUAAAAAAGAAUAGAAGAGAGUUUUCAUCAUAUACAGUUAGCGCAAGUGCUGUUUCGGGAACUGGAAAUUCUUUUGCUGGAACUCUAUACCAUAAGGAGCUAGAGCACCAACAGCCAAGCCGACAAGCAUAUACAUAUGUAGUUGUGCGCCGGACACAGGUGAACUCUGGAUUGGACUAUUUUAUUGCCCGAACGUAGCUUGAAGAAUUGUUUGAUGCUGACUUGAGAACUUAGCUUUCUGCUUCCCUUGCCGGCCUAGACCUGACUUUAGCCUCUUCUUCUGUUUCUUCCAUUCAAGGGUCCAUUCCAUUCUGACUUUCCUACUUGCCUACUGCCACUCACAAGCUUGCUCGUACCUUAGUGCAAUUCUGUAACUCUACCUUAUUAGGUUCAUUCUGAAAUGCCAACUAGCACAAGUAAGAUAAGAGCUCCUGCCGCGACACAUUAGUAGUGUCUUGGCCUAUCCAAAUAUCUCUUCUUAUAUUAUAUGAUAGGAUGACUGAUUCCACAGCCAAUCUUCAUGAAGUUAUGGGGGCAGAGGCAGAAGAGACGGGCCCUUAUAUACUAGUUCACAGGACUUGGUCAUAACUGCUUGGAAUUCUGAGUUUAGGUAAAUCCUCUGGUAGUGACUUGGCUUGAGCUUUCUGACUUACUAGAUCAAUUCCCUUUUUGGACCGAUUGCAGCUGUCAACUAUGAACUGAUCAUUCGGUAUACCUUAUUUGUUGAUUUCUCUCUUUGCCUUUCUAGUGGUUGCUGGGCCUAUUUACUACCCCGGACCGGACAGGACAAUCAACUCUAUCUCUACAACAAGGGAAGGGACCAUAGGUAUAAUAAGUGGGCUCCACCCUAAGGUUACAGGAGGGACGAAGGAAAGGUGGUAUAGCUAAUAGUUCCUGAACUGCCUAAUUAUUCACCCUAGCCAGAGCCAGAGGAGUGGUAAAGUGGAAUUUGUAUUUGUAGUGGUAUGGUCCAGUGGGGUUGGUGCUCUAGUUCUAAGUCAUAGGGAUGGUUUUGGUAACCAAGUCCUGUCCUCGUAUAUGUCUUCUCCCCAGCAGCAACUGCUUCUUCCGUUUUCUGGAAAGCUAUAGGAAAGGAAGCAGCUUUAUUGCCUAUUCAUUUUCUUUAUGCAGGAGCCGGAUAAUAAACAGAAUCAAGAUCUUGCAGCUGGACAAAGAUUCCAUUAAUGAUUCAGAUUGUCCUCGUUGAGUAUAGAUCCACGGAGCGGUAAUCGGGGUAAUAGAAAGAUUCCAUUCUGAACUUGCAAGGAUAGGUCGGACAAGAGCAUUGGCGACCAGAUCAGAAGUUGGAUCCGAAGCCGUAGAAAGUAUUAUGCAAAAGGACCGGAGGCUGGGCGAGGAAAUGAGAGGUCGGAAAAAGAACUAGCGUUGCUAUGUCUUUACUUUUUUCUAUCUUUGGUGCUCGAAAGUAAGAACACUGCCCGUAGAUUGAGGCACCCAAUUAAUAUACAACCACUUAUGCACAAUAGUAACCGAACUCCGAACUCCCUUUUUGUUCGCCUAGUUCGAGUUGACGACUUAAGAGAAGCUAGUAAUAUUACUCCAAUUUAUCUACGAGGGUUUUGCUCUCAAUAUUAUCUGAUGCUUCUGUUCGCCCUGUUCCACUUGACUUUAGAUUUCUACCUUUUGCAAGAUGGAGCAAGAGAGAUUCUGGAACCUAUUGUAUCAUAAGCUAGAUAGAUUCCAUUCAUGAGAGAAAGCAAGGUGCUGAAAGCCAAGAAAGCCCAAACUAUUGGACGAUGGAUCGUUACACAUCUAGAAGAAGAAAAGAGGUGAAGCGGUUAAAGAACCAUAUAUUAUAUAAGCGCAUUGUUACCUCACUGCAACAAGCAAGGGCGUUAGCUAAUUCUGAGUAUUUGCGCUAAGAUCUUUUUCUUACCCGCCCGCACACGUUAGCACAACGACCCGACCUUUCUCUUUAUUGUUUAAUCAAAUAUCACUGACAUAGAAAUCUCACUGACAUUGUAUAGAAGGACGUAAACAAAUGGCUUCUUUUUAGUUAGAAUAGAGAUAUAGGGUCACUAAACAUUAAGAACGAAUUGAGGCAGCCUUACCCUAUACAUUGCACUAAAGCACAGAGUAAGCCAAACCCUUCAAAACACUAGACUAGACUAUAAGGACGGAGGCAGACUAAGCACUUGCAGAGGCGGAGUUGGCUUCAGGUAGAGAAUCAGAGAUUUGACAAUGCCCCCUGGAGUUGAGAUCAGAUCGAUAAAAAGAAGAGAAAUAUUGCUCCUAUGUUCAAUUCAUCAGAUGGGUGGGUUUCUCUUUCCAUUGAAUAGGAAUUGGAAUAGGAAUUUGCACCGAUCAACGGAACAAGACUACUGCGUUUGUGAGUUUAAACACUUAUAGAAUAAUGCACACGUAUAGAGGAAUGAAUGUAACCAAACACCCGGACUUUGAGCUACUGCCCACUAGAGCAAGGAGUAAGGAGUUCCAGAAGCCACAAGACUAAGUGUGCUAACAGGAAGUGGAGUUUGAGUUUAAGGAUAAAGGUAUACUUCAGCAGCGGAAUGGACUGGUAUAAAGUAAGUGGUAAAGAAAUGAGUAGAUUACGGGUCGGGUUGACUGCGAUGAAAGCCGUAGAUAUAAGAAUGAGUAAGCAAGAAAAGUCUCUGGAAAUGCUGUUUCUGUUAGAUGGAAAUCCUUCUUUGUUGUCGACAAUAAAAUCAGAGGUAUAGCGGUUAUAGGGCUUACUUCCGUAUUGUUAGGUUGAUCUCGCCCAGUAGAAUCAUAUGUUUCAGUUUCCAAAGCUUUAUAUGUAUCUGAAAGCGGGAACUGCUAAUGUAGCGCAGUAAGGUUCAGAAAUGACAUAAUAAGGUAUAUGAAGUGCACAUAUAAGAUUCAACAAGCAAUGCUGUCAUGCCCAUCCUCAUUUCUUUCACUCCGGGGUGGGUACCCACCUUCUACUCAACAAGUCGUUGCGCGUUCAGGAGUUUCAAAUAAUAUAAUCUGCCCUAAACAACACCUCAGCAUUAGAAAAGAGAUCUGAUUCUUUUAAAGAGAAAAUGAAAACUCACCUUCUGUCAGGAAAACAAGACGGAACUGUAAACUCUAAGUUGUAGGCUACCCUAUGAAAACUUUCUAUUGAACUUGCCUUGCCCAAACUCCACUUUCUGACUAAUACCCGAUUGUAGCUUACUUUGACACCGCUUCCGAUACUGAUCCAGUACUUUCUUCUGGGCACUGCUGAUUCUUAUGCUGGAACGAAACUUGAUACUCUACCUAGAACUCAUUAUGAUACUGAUCCCGCAUCUGCUUCACCUGACACGGAUCCUUCUCCUACUACGGAUACAGGCAUACGCAACUCUGUCUUUUUCUCCAGCAUCAUAUAUUUCUUCUGCUUCUACUUCCAACUCUCCUUUUUCCUCGCACAGGAAACCUGUCAAACACGGAAUUCCAAUCAUUCAUUUCCAUUUCACUAUCCUUACGCGCCGAAGCUUGUUUCUUGACUUUCUAUCCUUGCUUAGGCAUCCUAAGAAGUUUCUCAUUCUGUCUGAUCUGCUCUUCUUUCUUUAUACGAGAAAAACGAUACUUUGGAGUCUAUAUGUCACAUACACAAUGAAUCGAUCAACCAAGCGAACGAAACACUAUUCUAAUGAAAUAAGGCUUUGUCCGAGUACCGAUCUACAACUAAGUAGAUGUCUCACGGGCGAAGGAAUAGAGUUAGGACCGGUCUUGACUUUAGGUCGGUUGCCGUCCUGCAAACUGAGGGCGCCGUUCGCCACACACUUAAUAAAGAGUACAUCAGGAUCAGAGAAAGAGUACAUCAGGAUCUGAUUGAUGCAAGAGAUAGAUCGGCCUGCGGACCCUAUCCUUCUUCCAUACUCACUGCGAGUCCAUUGUGCUUAGAACGAGUAGAGCGUCUUCAAUGCGAGUAGUGCGUGGAGUUUAGCCUAAACAGUUAACAUAGUUGUGUUUGUACAGUGAAAUAGCGGCGUUUGUUGUUUGCCCUGCCUUCGGAAAGGCGACUCCUAAUGGUACCUUAGUUCUCCAUGGGCGUCAGAAGGGGUCGUUUAGUUCAGGCAUUCAGUAAGUUGCCGUCAAGCAGUUCUCACUCCAAGCGGGACUCUUUUCUAUGGAUUAGUGGUAAGGCGCAGGAUAAGAGAGGAUUCGUCUAUGUAAGUAGCUUACGAGCCAGUACUGUUCGUGGGCAAGCAAAGUAGAAACUCGCCAUCCAUUUCUACAGAACGUAUAAAGGUUCUGCAGGCGGGUGUGAAUUUGAAGUUUCCGGUGGGUUCCGUGUGUAUGGAAAGAAAGAUGAAUAGUUCGGUUGGCCUUGGGCGGAGAUGGAUACAGAGGUGGUUAGGCUUCUAUCCUACUAGUAGGACAUGCAGUUCUCCCCGACGCCUUAGGGCAGGCACGAAAUCAAUUAACAGCUUCUAAAGAAAGAGGACUACUUAAGACAGCAAGAACGUCCAAAAGCAGUAAGUUCACUCUCGGAACAAUUCCAAGAAAUCGAUGAAUGUGUCCCGCAACGAAGAAGCGCUAGCUUACCUAUAGAGUAUGAGGAAGGUGAAAUACUGUCUUGUGGGUCCCCAAGGGUUAGAACCUAUAACGGGAGAAUUCGCUUUCACUAUUUGAGAAAAGAGAUGAAUAGGCAGAGCUGAACAAGUACCUUCCUUCAAAGCUUUGAACUCCACUUGCGCCCGCUUCUGAUCUCAUUCCCAGUCCAAGCUCUGACUUUACCGGAUAACUCCGUGUGUGGACCAAUGGCAGAGCACUUGUGGCGUUAACCAGUAUCGCUCUCAGACUCAUAGCACUUUGUUCACCCCCAAGAAGUUAGCCGAGGCAUUAGUUGCUGAAGCUGGGGCGGAUUCCCUGAUUGACUCAUCCUUGUUUCAAAACCACCACCCAGUAUACAAGGCAUACUUGCUCACAACGAUCUCUAGCACUGUUUCAUUCUAUCCUACCCUAUACGGGCUGGCUGGGUCAAGAGUGCCUUGCCGUUGCUGUCGCCAACCACCCUAUCGGUAUCACCUAUGCUACUCAUAUCUUAUCCCUACCUUCUGGCUUCCGUACCUGAUCUGGCUUGGUCCGCCAAUAACUUAUCUUGUCCGCGACUUAACUAUCAUUAUAUUACCUUAUCCGGGGAAACAGAAUCAUGAGCGAGAUCCGAUAGAAUAAAGUAAGCGCAGCGGGAUAGAAAUUGUUAUUGAGAAAGAAAAUAAUUCAUUAUCAGAGCUAAUAGGGAGCAACAUAGAGGUUUGGAAUUUGCCAUUAAAGGAGAAAAGAGCUGCCCGUAAGCCCUAAACACUGGACUUGAACCCGAGAUACCCUAGAGAGUUGUGCGCGUGAAGGACAGAAAGGUUGCUCGGCCCUAUGCUUGAGUGGAAUUCUGAAAUUCCUUAUUGGCUGCCGACCUAUUCAAUCUAAAUGAAUUAUUAUAUAUUCUAUUAUAUUAUAGGAGAACUGAUUCCAGAUAACCGCUUCAACUCCCUUUCCUAACUUAUGAACUGGAACAGUAAGCUCCCUUUCCAUACUUGAGAACAAGAACAGGGGAAGAAGGGACUGCCGCUACACAUUAGUAGUUGCUUGGUGCCUGAAACAACUAACAACCAGCCUGAAACACCUAACUAUCAGAAUGAAACAAAGCAGACUCAGAAUCAAACUCACUCGUCACAGAACCAACCCAGUAACAACAAGCCUGACACCGGGUGCUCUCAAUUGUCAGAAUGAGACUAAGUAGUGAAAGAAUAAGACAGGGUGCCCCAACACAGGUUAACUCAGGACUUGCUCUGUACGGUUGGGUUGAAAGUGGUCUGGUCCUGUUGCAUCCGUAUUUGUUGUAUGAGUUUACAAAGGUAUGUAUAGUUGCCGAAUGAAGCAAGUCAGAGUGAAACACCUGAGUAGCAGUAAAGAGCAGCUGGUGGAAUUAUUAAGAAUGGAAUGAGUUUACUUAUAGUACUUUACUAGAGCAAGAAACAACUUAAUGGUAAGGCUCGGAGUAAGAGUAAUCAAGAAGAGAAGAAUUAGUUAACAGAGGAGAGAGAGACAAGGUCAGCUGUGGAAUCUGUAUUUGUAGUUGUAGCUAGAGGAUAGAGAUUAGCUAGUUGCAAGAGGAGAGGCGAGGAAGCUAUAAGUACUGAUGUAAUGACUUUGCUAUCCGCCAAGCAACUACUAAUGUUGCGCGGCAGCGCUGUUUCCCGGGGUUGAUGAAAAAAAGAAGAGAAAUUGACUUCGUUAGUAGGGAAAUUGGGGUCGCUAUGAAAAAAGCCGUGUUUCGUCAAAAAUGAAGUCAUUUCGGGUUCUCUAUUAAGGGGCCAAGUAACUACUAAUGUGUAGCGGCAGCCAAUAAACAGUUAUGUAGAAGUUAUGACCAAGUCCCGUUUACACCCUACUAUGUGUAUACUGAUUGGGUACUUGAAAAUGUCUUCCACUUUUCUGCUUUAUUUUUGAUUUGUUCUUUCUUGUUUGAUGGUUUCUUUAGACCUACUCUUUCCUGGUCUCUGUUUCUGUCCUAACAGUUCUCCUUCCCGUUCUUGCAACGACUAGUAGAAUGAGUUGAAUACCGAGUGGAAUCAGUUUUCAUAUAUAAGGAGAAUAUAGCAUAUAGUGGGCUUUCCUCUACUUAGUCAGUACUGAGUCAAUGGAACUAAAAACGGAACUGUCAACAACUCUCCCUGACCCUUUAGCGGAAGCCACUAAGUCUGAUCCUGCUUGUUCAAUUGAAACUCUCUUCCCGAUAGCGCCGAGUCAAGCUGGAAAACCAGGAACUCCAUUUUGAGAAUCUAUUGUUGCGGACACUUCUUCUAAUCCUUAUUCUUCUCCAGCUCUAGCCUCUGAUCCAUUGCUAUAGUGGGACAAGAAGCUAAUCCUGUUUUCUGAGGUAUGUCAAUGAUAGAUUUUCCAUGAGCUACCUUGAACAUAGGUGAAAGUUCUCCAAAAGUCCACUAUUGGAUUGGGGUGCCGCUUAUGAUUGAUUGUUUCAUGGUGCGUCGUUAGCUUAUGAGUUGGAGUUCGGACGUGAGCUUUCUUUGGAGGAGUCAGCUGUUAGCUUCAUUAAUGAAAUGACAUGAUAGGUGCACUCAACAAGUAACGGUGCAAUAAUAUAGUACGCGGCAGGGCCUAAAAGCUGUAUCGCACGCCCCUAUUCAGCAAGCAACCGAGCAAGAGCAAGCGAAGUGAGCUUAGGUAGAGCUGCAGUAAGAAGUGUUUCUUUAGGUUACUUAUUUCGAGUAGUUGUCGUGCAGAUUCCAAUAGUUCUUUGGAAGCACCUCUGUUAUCCAAGUUGACACUUUUGCGCCCUCCUUGACUGUUAUCUAAGUUGAUACUUACUCCCUAACCGUUAGCACAACGAACAAGCAAUCUUAUAGUGUUUGACUUCACUUUCCUCCUAUCCUAAUCCUGCUCUUGCUCUACCGAAGUUAAGGGAAUAAUCUUAUUAGCGUUCGUUCACUUAUAGAAGAAAGAAAGAAAGUCAACAACUUGCUAAACUCAUAUCAUGCCACCCCUUACUAACGCGAGCUCUUUCGCACAGUCCGCACAGUGGAACAUUGCUAGUUUAUAAAGCCGUUGUUCUUGUUCCCUUGCUUGUUGAGAAAGCCUAAUUUAUGGCUAUUUUGCCCGUGCCUCUCCAAGUUUCGAAUUGUUCUUGUUCCAGUUCCGCUUACGUAAGCUCUCCAUUAUACAAAGCUUGUUCCCUUGCUUAUUUACUUGGGUGCACAACUUAUGUAAGAUGGUAACAACCCUUACUCUAUUCUAUAUUAGGUAAGAUGGCUAUCUUCUUCUCUUUCUCUAUUCUAUAUUAGUAGGUAGAAAGAAUGGCUAUCUUCUUCUCUUUCGCUGUAAUGCGUGAGUUUUGGAAUUAGCAAACGAACAACCCUAGAAACUUGUGUACUACCCUUUAUUGCCGUAAUUGCCCUCUCUCUCCUCUUAUUGUUAUUGCCGUAAUUCCGUUGCUUGUUCAGGCAUUAAAGCAAGGUUAAGAACAGAAUAUCUUACUUACUUUGAAGCGCUAACAGAAGGAGUGGAAAGCGUUAUAUAAGUUAGCGCAAGAACCAGUAGAACUCAAUAAGCGUAGCUCUGAAUACGAGUGAAGUUCGCCUGAAUGCUACGUUAGUGAGAUGAGAGAGCUUUUGAGAAAGCAAUGUAGCUCUGGUAAAUAAUAGGGAUAUUUAGUGUUUCGCAAUUAGGAGUUAACUUGAACUGGCCUACCCGCGAGCGGGCUACUUGGCUUCCCCUUUCCUUUCGUAACUCGCAACAAACAAGAAAUGGACUAGCUUAGGCUUCUUCCCUAGCGCUUGUUGCUAGCCUUACCAAUAUGGAGGAAGAACGUCAACAAACAGCUUAGUUUCCGUCAAAACUCUAUCACUAAGGCACUUUUACUUUGGCGAACUCUACCACUUAUUACUGAACGAACUCAAUUCUACCACUUAUUGCCCUAGUUUGCGCUGUUCAUAAUACGGAGUCUUUGCGCUCUUCCCUUGUUUGCUUUGUGGAAUUGAAGAAUUGCAUUUAAAGCACAACUCUCAUAUAAGUUGUCAAAGAAUCUAACUCGUAUAACUAAACUAAUAUGGAAUAAUGUAACCUAACUACCUACUCCUGGCUAAACUCAUGGCUCAGAACUCACAUUAGCACAAGAAAUUCGCUUAUGCAAGCAAGCAGUGGUUCACUCCCUAACGCACUUGUUUACCCGUUCUUGCACCGUUUGCGUGCUCAUUUGCCUAAAGCUUUUGUUAUCUACCCAACUGACCUGUGUUUUAAUUGAAUUAUCGAGCACAUGCUAUAAUGAAGUAGUAACCUCUCACUCGGAAACUCCAAUCACUCUGAAACUCCAAUAAGCUAAGGUGGCUUCCGCCUUACAAGAGUUUUUGUUUCAUCUUUGCGCUGUUCCUAGGUUAAGAUAUUCUAUUGUUGCACUCAAUUCCAUGCUUUUCUGAAAUCAAUCAGUUUGUUAUUUAAAGCUAUGCUAUGGUUGGGGACUUAGCUCUAAGCUAUGCUAUGGUUGGGGACUUAGCUCUAUAUGAUGUCUUACUUAUGAAUUCCAAAUUCCAUUCUUUAUACGAUAGAAACAGGAACAGAAAGAGAAAUCCGUACACCACGCUGAAGAAGGUCGGGCAAUUCUCUAAGUCAGAGGGCAAUAAAUCAGGCUUAUAUUUCUCGUUGUUUAAGACAGGGUAAACUCUGCUAAUAAUGGCUAAUCACUUCUUGAAAGACCUCUACUUACCCCUAAAGGCCCUUCUUUUAUUGUAUUUUAGCCUAAACGAGACCACUUAUUUAUUGGAGUUGCUAGCUGGGUGCCCAGCGGAGUUCAACAAGUCAGGAGUCAGGAGUGUUUUGUUAAUCCCCGAAAGUAAUAGGUGUAGAGUUACUUUAUUACAUGAUAGGUGCACGUCAAUACAAGCAAGUGGAACUCCCUAACGCCAACGACAAAAAAAGGAACUCCCCGAAACGAAACGACAACACUAGAUCUAACGGAACUCUUUGGACUACAACUAACUCGGUGUUGGCUGAUGAAGGCUUCUGAAACGUCGUGUAUAGCCUGUUAACUAACUACCCUAAAAAGAGAGACCCUCAUAGAAACUCAGCAACUAGCCUUCCAAUGCAUUUAAGCCUAAUAACAUUUACCUGAGAGUAAGGAAAUGUGUAACGUUCCAUUCUCUUCUUAAGUAAAAGGGGUGCCGACAUUAGUUUUGAAAGCAAUGCUAUGGUUGGUUACUGUCUUCUAUAAGUGGAUAGCGCUAUCCCUGAAUUUAGUAAUAACACAGAACAAGCAAACAUGGAUACGCGGGAGCUUACUUUCAUAAAGAAAACGAAGGCUUGUGGAGUGACUUGUAGCUUUCGAAAGGCCCGGUUCUCUUGCGCAUACAUAUAAGAGAUUCUGAUUUGAGUGCUUUAGCUCUAAAUGGGAAUGGAAUCCAUUACUACCACUAGAACCUUGCUUCUGAGUUGUUCUCCUAGCCCGGUAUCUUUACUUAAUACUUGUCUUAGUCGUUAGUGCAACACUGAAAACUCCCGUUAGCGAGUCUCGAGUUGCUUGUUAAGAAACAGAAGAAAGACGACAAGAAGAUAAUAGGUAAGAGGAAUCCAUCCCACUAAGAUGUAUAGGAAUGACACUAAAAGGUAGGAUCUGUCCUGUGUGAGCCCUUACUACUUGCCUACUUCCACUCAAGCUUGCAACAAACACAGAUGAAACGAGCCCUUACUACUUGCCUACUUCCACUCAAGCUUGCAACAAACACAGAGGAAACCGGGGAUGCAACAACUAAUUCAGGGGAUGACACUCUGAAUCUAUUGGUGGGGAAAGAGGUGCUUCUUCAGCCCUAAGUCAGGUAGGCUCAACCGGAAAGAGAGAUCAGUCUAUACCUUAAGCCCUAAGUCAAUGAGUUGCACCCGUUUAGUGAUUGUAUUCAUCAGCUUACAGAGUUGAGUUAAGAAUUCACUUUCUUGCUCUUUCAUUCCUUGUUUCUCUUGCGAGAUGGGUGAUUUAUUGGUGCUUUUGUUGCGAUUAGUGAAUGGAAUGGGCCGGGCCUGAUUGCCCUUACUUAUAUUACUGUCUGCAGCUACGUUACUUUUCUACUUCUCUGCUUGUCUACCGAACACAGCUUCCCGUUCUUUAUAAGGUUAGCUUGGCCCCUUUCGACUACGGAUGGAGCUCCAGGUGCUACUACUAAGGGGAAUCGGCGUAGUAGUGACUCUUCCGAAAAGGUGGAAAACUUAAGGAGGACUGUUGCUUCCAAUCCAAUAACAUAGUAUAGUUUCUAUAGAGAAUCAAGAGUAUAGUUUAUAUAGAGCCUUUCACCGACAUUCUAUAUUCAAUCUAUGAUGAGGGGAGGGGUUUAGUUAAAACGAGUACAGUUAAUCAAUUUACACGAUGGGUCAAUAAAUGUAAGUCACCUAGAGAAGGAAGAGUGGUGGAACCCCCUCAUGUAUCAGAUGCCCAUUAUAGACUCGCCCCCCCUAGCGUUUUCUAACUUGAUAUUGAAUGACCUGCAAAAGCCAAAUAAAUGCUAUUGUGAAACCGAUAACUCGAUGGCAGACGGAGCAGCAGCCUUACAUCCAUAGGCGAAUCCGCUCCCGUGCAGACGACGGUAUGCUUAACAAUAAGUUCAUUGAGAUACCAUGAGAAUUACCAAUACCUAUAUAUAACAAUAAUUACCAAUACCGAUAUAACAAUAAUGGAGAUACCAUGAGAAUUACCAAUACCGAUAUAACAAUAAGUUCAUUGAGAUAUCAUUAUACAUACCCAUCUCGAAAACCUGGGCCCAGCUACUUAGGGUUCGUCGAGGUUUAGUGCUGUAGAUAGAGUUGUUGAAUCCCGUGGGACAAGGCCUAUUAGGCUUAACGAUUGGAGCUAGACCUGUAAACUUAACUGAACGAAGUGGUAAAACCACCUUAUCUUUAUUCUAGGUCUAUACCCACUUACCCUCCUUUAAUAGCUUUCCGCUUACUCUAAAGGUACUUUGUUUCUGUGCCCCUGGUGUAAAUGAAACUACACCGCCCGAACACAGUAAAUGAAACUACACCGCCCACUAACCAUCUGGUAAGAAGGAGAUUCCGCUUCCUUCCAAGCCCACUAGGAAUAGAGUCCAAAUGCCUUAUACUACUAGGAAUAGAGUCCAAAUGCCUUAUACUAUAUAUUAGAAGUAAAGUAUAUUCUCAAUCUUAGAUGAGUAUCGCAGCAUUGAAAGCGGUAGACUGGUGCUUAUAUCCCGUGAAGCACGAGAGCCUACCUUCUCUGGCAUUCACUAUAAGGCUCCAGAGUCAAUCAUCUAGGAUAAGAAAAGAGAAAGGUUUUUCAUAAAAACAAAACAUAUUCUAUGACUCUUUCCUUUCAAUCGUAAUAUGUAGCUCUUGGGGAGAAAACUCCUGAUACAGUAAACUACUGCUAGCGAGGAAGGGAAUGGGAAGUGGAAAAAGGAUAAGCAAACAGCACUGCAAAGCUGCAUGAGGAUUUCGCGCACUAAGCAGAGUCUUAUAGGCCCUAGCGCGCAGAGCAAUAGUCAGCUACUUUGCUCGAUAAGAAGAAAGACGCUCUCUCUGGUUCUCUCUGGGUCUUAUUCUCUUACAUAAGAAGAAAGACGCUCUCUCUGGGUCUUAUUCUCUUACAUUACAACCGCCCUUGCCACCUCUACUUCUCUAAGAGCAAUAACAAGCUUCAUGUCUAGUGUGAAAUUGGAUCAUGAUUGGUUGAGUCUUUCUUUUAUGGAAAGUUGAUACUCCUCAUUUUGGUCCCCGAAACUCUAAUUUGGAUAAGCCAAGGUUUUCAACAAAAAGAACAACUUUGAAUUGUCUGGGGGCAACCUCUAUUCAAUAGCUUCUAGCUAAGCUGUGAUCUUAUUCCUUUUUUGACUUGGGAUAUUAAGUAAAAUCAGAACUCAUUGGCAAACCAACCAUCUUGGCUAUAUCAUUUCCCGCCCUAUCCACCCCAUAUUAGUUAACAGAUCCAGAGAGUUAGUUAUUAGUUAACAGAUCCAGAGAGUUAGUUGGCGUACCCACAAUGGAAUUACCUGAGCAAGCCUAACCGUACUCUUACUCAUACAGCUCGGGCCUGGCAUAUUCGCAGUACGAGUUUCCCGGUCUAUUUCACUAACUGAAGCUAACCGGGAUCGAAAGCUUUCUUCUCAUGCGGCUCUUGGAUCGAAAAGAGGCUGCUGGACCAAGGCUUCAACUGCCUGGCACGGACGAGCUAGCUGGGCUAAUAGAAUAAUAUCUUACAGGCUUGCUUUGAAGCGCAUCAAUAAGUCAAAAGGAGAUGAGUGUUCGGUCAAGUGUCAAGUGAGGGUUCAGGGCAGAACAUAUGGCGUAGCAGUUAAGGUCAGGGGCAUCAUCCAGUAAAGUUGAAGCGCGUAGUCAAUCAGUAUCAGGGUUCAAUUCAAGUAGACCAGAGAUAGAGGUUAGAGUUCAGUCGACGAGAGAAUCUGAAUCCACCAGUUCCAGAAGAAUAAGUGGACUGAUCUUAUGCAGGUAAAGAAGAAGGAAUGUAUACAAGAGAAUCUGUUGCCCACGGUGCAAAGGAAAGGGAUGCUAUGUAUCUUGACUCAUAUUUAUAUACCAACAAUGUGCUUAAUAUCAAUAUAACCUUUUGAAGCUUCACCCGAUCCCUAUACCUUUGCCUAAGCCUUUGCAUCCGACUUACCCUAACCUUAAUGCUUGACUUUCCCUUUACCCUUGUAGUGGUCGACCAUAGGAACUUAUGAUACACACCACUUCUUGUCUGUGCUUUGAUUAUAGGGUUAUCGCCCAGCCAGCUCUUGAACAUGGGCAUAGGUUAAACGACUCGAAAGUAAGGGUCUAAAGGUACAAAUAUAUUCCUUCUUCCGCUUCUGUAUCAGGUUCUAGUGUUGUUGGUUAAGAAAUACUGUAUUGUUCGGAUAGCCCCCACGUAGCAGUUCUUCAAGUAGAGUUUCAAAGGAAGCUACAAGUGAAGUUGAUUCAGCAAAGUAGAGUUCUCGGGGCAGAAUCAAUUCCUUCCUGAACUUCAAGUCGAGGUCGGAAAAACGAAAUAAGAUAAUACUGGCCGAUUAAGGGCAGCAAGUGGUUCUGUUCUAGGCUUUGUCGUGGAAAGAGGUAAUUGUGCUUGUGUAUAAAGGCGAGUGCUGCUCCCGAAACCAACCAGUACUUUCCCGUCUUUUCAUGAACCCUAUCUUGACUUACCCGAAACAAUACUUCAACAGUCAAAUCUUCUUUCGAGGCGGGCUCAAACCCUUCCCUUCUUUUCGAGUACUUAGUUAGCGGGCUGUAAACAAACCCUUAUCCAUAGCUUAGAGUUCGUUCGACAAAUAAGUCACCUCACGUCACGGCCUGAUGCCAAUAUUCUUAAAGGAAGCAAGCUGUGUUAGGUAUGGAAGGGAGUCUACUAUUCUUAGCUUAGAUACUCGGAUGGCAGCGGGGUAAUAGUAAGGUGAAGGUAAGGCGGAGGCAAAGGCAGAAUGAUUCUGAUUCUCUUUACUACUUUCCUGUCAACCCAUCUUUCGAACACACAAGGACUUCCUGAAGGCUAUAAAGAAAGUAAGGGCAAAAAAAGUAUACCUUUGAGCAUCGUUUAAGCUAGGGGAAACUCAUCUUCUAGGGCUAAUUACCUUGCAGCUAUAAGGGCUCCUCUAGUUCAUUUGAGCCUAAGAACAUUGAAGUAGCACCCAACCUCCACUCCAAUCCAAUAAGUUAACGCGCAAGGGCGAAGAAGGUAAAGUCAAGGGUAUAUAAAGGUAAGGAUUACAUGGCAAAAAAGCAUUUGUAGCAGGGGGGCUGGGGUGUUUUCUUAGAACAGAGGGCAUCAAAGCCAGUCGACGGAGACGAACAGAUGCAGAAAGGACUCCAUUAGAACUCCUUUUCUUCCACAAGAACAGAACUACUAAGAGCUACAGCAGGCCUCAACUGUACAAGAGGGCUUAAGAGGAGCGGGGUCACCUCUGACUCUUCUUACUCGGAUUACCGCGUUCCAUACUCAACACCUAUAUUUAGAUACUCCACCUUUCCCACGGGCAACUUACCUAUUUGUUGAACCGCUCACUCCAAAGCGAACUGCUCACUCUAUUACCCCACGUAGCUGAGCUGUAAGGCCAGAAUCUAGUACAGUACUGGCUUUGAAGCGCUAAGUCACUGAUAGCUCUGAUUCAACCACUCCGGUCCCUCAGUCUACCUUUCCUACCUAAAAUCUACAUUGAACCUAUUAGCCUACCUUUAUGAACUAGAAUUAUGACUAGAACCUUGUCUCGACCUGUCCUUCUUAUCUAUUAGUCUUCCUUUGCCGGCUACCAAUCAUAUUCCUCACUACUGAAACGAAUCUCCUUACUUAUCCAAUUGAGUAUACCUUCCCUGCUCGAGGUUUGCCAUUGCUUUGUAUCAUUCUAUAACUACUAGUUUUACCAGCUACCAGCCUUGCUCUACUUCUUUUCAGGAUCCAAAUACCGUCUUAUAAGAUUGAAAUACCGUCUUAUAAGAUAUAACUAAGAUAUAACACUCUUAUUAUCAGAGUUGUACUUAUUUAUAUGGAUUUACUAUUCAGCCGACUAAGACAACAACUAGUAAACUAAUCAGAAUCCGCCUACGACUUAUGAGAACUAAGCUAGAAACUGAGCCUUUAUCCCUUGAACUCGAGUCAAACCUCCUCUCAUUCCCUAACAGCUGAUCCGGAUCCUAGCUAUAUUGCCUAUGAACCUGUCCUAUGAGCCUGCCUUGCCCCACUUGCAUUUCUUUAGCUAAUGAUCUCGAACCUUUGAUCUAUCCGCUUAUUUGAAGUCUGCAGCUACUGGUUCUCAUUCUUUGAUGAUGAGCUGUGAGACUAGGAUCGAGUACUAAUUAGGAUCUAUAGUACUAAUAUAGUGUAUCGUCCAGGGUUAGCGCAUCUAUUAAUAGUAAUCAAAACUGUAAACCAAGCCUUAUUCACCGGCGGCCAAGCCCUUACUUAUUAAUUAAUUGAACUCGCCAAGCAACCCUACUAGCUCUGGGACUUGAACUCAUGCCUUACAAGCCGCGGCUCUAAAGCCUUAGCAGUCAGGAGAGUUUACUGUAGCCUGUACAUUGCUUGGCUGUAGUUUGUAGUCGUUACUUUUCUCUUUUCAUUAUUGAUUUGCUUCUUCUACUUGCUACUCAUAUCCGGACUUUUGAGUAUAUUGGCUUCUCCUCUGCUGCACACACGCCCAUAUUCUUUUACUAAUGUAUUGAGUCAAUGCUCAUUCUGGUACUAGUGGAUUGAGUGCGGGUGCUCACCACCCUAAGUAUGAUAAUGUCCUAGAGCGUACCACCCUACCUUCCACUAUUAGGCUUAAAGCUCCAUAUUUGUAGUAUUAGUUGACUUAGAAUAGAAGGCUGACUUACUUGUUUGAUUAUAGUUAUCAGUGGUUGUAUUGAAAGAAGCAAGUAGGAGACUUAAAGCGAGUAAGGGCAGCGUCAGCUGCCUGUUAGUAUUUGCAUAUAGGCUUUUCCUAGUCUUCUAUUCUAUGGUGCGCUAUUUCCGUCUGUUAGGCAUUGGUUUGACUCCGUAUCAGCGUUUGGAUUCCCAGCUAGUGGGUGAAGUCUAAUAAGUAUCAGCUCCAUUCUAGUUAGUAUUGGUUCAUCUUAGUAUCGGUAAUGGAAGCACUAGCUUUGGUUUCAAAGCAAGUCAAGCCAGCCUCUAUCUCGGGCAUAGUAGGCAUUGAUGAGUUAAUAACAUAGUAGGCAUAGGAUUACAGUUGCUUGUUUCAGUCCAGUUAACCCAGGUGCUACUCUUUGUAUAGGUAGUGAAAACCUAGUCAUACUCUUUGUAUUGGUAGUUAAAGCCUUAGCCCCUUAGUGAAAAUCUGUAUAUUCUAUUUCAAUGUCUUAGAGCUUAGCCUAGCCCGGUAUCCCUACUUCUUUGUUCGAUUCCGACUUGUGAGUUGUUUUCUUACUACUUAUUUUCAUUCUUGGUUAUUUGUGGGGAGUUCCCAUUCCCGUACUACUUAUUUCCAUCCUGUAGUUAACUACUAUUCGACUUGCCUUUAUUAGUAGAAGAACCUCCCCAGUGGGUUCCAAGCCAAGCCCUAUUCUAUGCCUCAGCUGCCCUUGUCUAUAUCGAUGUUCGAGCCUUACUUAUUAAUUGGAAUAUGACUUCCCGGCUAUCAGUACGAAAUCCCUAUUAUCAGACUGCACCCAAUAACAAUACAAUAAGAGAAUUGAGCUCACAAAAGAAAGACUAGACUUACUUGAAAACUUGAUCUGUGCUUUCUAGAGCCCAUUGCUUUAUCUCAUUCUCACCACCCAUAGGAAAGUCUGCCUUCGACUUCUUGGAUUCCCUCUCGCAUAUCAAUAAGAGUUGUCAAGUGCCGGUGCUUCUGAAAGUGCUGUGUUCGCCUAUUAUUGAUAUCAGUGGUGACUUGUCCAUUAGUUGUAGUUUGGCUAGUAGUUACUUUGCCCUGUGUUUUGGGCCUGUGUUCUAGGCCUUGUCUAUCCGUUCCUUGGCUCAUAGCAAAUAGAUAAAGUGGUCGACUCUCCUGCUGAAGCUUAUUGGUAAGAAAACUACAUAAGUGAUGUUUCGGUCAUAUAGGUCAGAUGAGUGCAAUUCAGAGUCCCCGAACACAGGACUUAGUUGGAGGCCAGGAAGCUAUAAGUACAGAGAAGUUCAGUAAAAGUAUCUUUCCGGAAGUUCACCAGGUAAUUAUGCUGCCUCAGAUCUAGUAUUGAGCUCCCCAGCCGCGUAACCGAACACAGGACAAUGAAGCAAGUCAUAAUCUUAGAAUGCAGUUUCAGAGUUGAAGUUAGUUUGAACCUCUAGGUUGCGGUAAAUCAGGGUAGUAAUGAAUUCUUUCCCCAUUAGUAGUAGAAAUCUUACCGGUAGUACUGCUCUGGUUCUUGUUGACGAACAAAGGACUCGCUUCUAACUCAUACUAACAUCGGCUAGACAGUUGAAAACAUUCCUUCCAAAGAAAGAACACAGGACCACUGACUUAAGGCUUACUACUAACUAGUUCCACUCUUUCUUCUCUGGUCAACAGUAGCAUUCUUUCUAUCUUAUAUAGGAGCCCCGGUGAGCAACUGUAGGAGUGAGUUCAAAACAUCUAGUAAAGCGUGACUUGCGUGAAGCAAUGCAAGUGGAGCAAUUAUUUCUUCUAGGCCUUUGAUGCGAGGUAUAGGUCUACUUCAGACUAGUCUCUUUCUAGUGGUUGUCUUAGAGAGAGGAAGCCAAGCCCCCCUUAGAGCGAGAAAUCUCUUGCUUUUACUUGGAAAGAAGCCUUCUUGCCUGAACUGAACCUAUCUUCUUCAUCGCCUCGCCCAGCUGCUAUUCCUUUUGAACUUGACUUUCUACCUUUCUUGUCAACGAGAUCUGAACCUGGAGCAGGAAAUGAUGUAUCUGUUCGAGGUGAGGAGUAGAGAGAAGAAACUUGAUAAGGGGCUUGAGCAAGAGAUGGAUCUGAAUCCGGAUCCUCAGCUGUGCCAAAGUAAGCUGCUGUUAGAGUGGAGAUUGGAAAAAGAAAAGAAGAAAGUACUUGCUUUGAAGCGAGCUAAAGGAGCGUCAGAAUGAUAGUAAAGAAAGUAAGCCUCAAAGUCAGGGUACAGCAAGAAUAGUCUAAGGGUGGGGAAGGGAGGCAGCUUUUAGGUCAGCAGCGAAAGUUCUAUUUAUAAGAACGAGUAUUGUUGGCAUUGGGUUCGGUCUUGCUUUUGCUUAUCGAGUUCUAUAUUAUAAGUUGGGGUACGAGGUUCUACUCUGCAUCUCCCUUGUUGGAUUCCUUGAGUUAGUAGUGACUUUGCGGGUUCUACUACUGGUUUUGCUUGUCUGCUUGGCUGUUUCGGGUGCGCCUUAAUAUUUAGUUGUUGAUUCAGAAAAUAGAGUUCUAGAUUCAAUACGAGUGCCAUAAGAAUCAUCAUAAGGUGGCUGGGUAAAUACUCAAAUCUAUACUUGGUGCUUUAUGGAUGUCAUUUCAUUCUUCCACUUUGACUUUAAGGGAGAGGUGGGGAAAGAAAAGAAUCAAAGGUCAUAGAGAUGGGGAAGCUGUGGUAUUUACUGAUUUCUAUACACCGCGGAAGAAGGAUCAGAUGCUUUAUCUGGAUCUGCUGCUGUUAGGUAUAUUGGUUUUGUCUCAAGUAAUAGGUCGGCAAAAGAAACGAAAGAUGUAAUUAAUCCUUUGACUUGUUCGGUUGGUUAAAGAAUGGUUUAUUUGGCUUGCACCUGUUGCUCGGCCAGUUCCAGUUCAUGUUUAAGAAAAGCGGUUCAGAGAAUAAAGAAAGGGAAAUGAAGCUAAUGCGGUUCGAAUGCAUGGAACGAAACUCAAACUUGAACUCAAGCCCUCGCACUUAACCUCCAAAAAGGGAACUGGAUGAAUGGGAGAACUAGCUAGCCUCUAUUCUUAGGACCAUUCCAUUGAACCUAGUAUAAUAAUGAAUCUUUCACUUAUAGGGCACAUUCCACCUCUUCACGUACCAGAUGCUUUAAACAUUCCAUUCUUGGCGCUUUAUUUACUAAUUUCCAGUUUCAAUGAAGUCUUUGAUUCGGCAAAGAAGUAAGCAUAGAGGAGAUUGGUCAAGCCCACGCAUCCGUUAAAGUGCUUGAGUAGUAUCGUCUCCGGGCUAUCAAAAACGAAGACGAUUACCCAGCCUCUGAAGGUCUUCGCCCAUUGCACCGGUAAGAUCUGAACAUAGCUUAUGUCGAGCUUACCCACCUUUCCGAAGAGAUUAGAUUGUUGCAAAAGCCAUUGCUUGAAGGCCAUGAAGUUGUAGAGAGGGUAGCAAGUAGUCGUCCUGUUUCAAAAGAGACUGUUCGAGUGAUAGGAAUUGUGAGCCUACCUUUAAGGAUUGCUAGUAGAAGUAUAAGACUCAGAAUGGAACUAAGUAGUAACAGUAGAGGCCUAUAUACGAAGUUUCGGGCUUUCCCCUUGUAUACGAGUUAGGCUCGGGUGCUUGUGUUAAGCAAUGAUACAAUCUAUCUCUUUUGUAGGCUUGUCCCCUACUUAAUUCAUGAUUAUCUUAUUAAGGAUUGAGUUUCGAAAGAGAGAAGUGCUGUGUUCGUGACCUAAGUAGUAAGGAAACCAGUAAGUAUCGGCUUUGAAGCAGAAACGCUGUUACUGUAGCGAUGGGUAUCUGUCUUCUUACUCUGUUCCGUAUCCAACUCCUGUUCCUUAUCUUUAUUAGACUAAUGUAAGUCAGCAGCCCUAUAUGGUGUUGUAGACGAGAGAAGAUCUGAACCAGUGUGGUAUCAGUGCAAGCUUGAAAAGACAUAAUGACCAACUCAGUAAGCGCCUUUUGCCAAGCAGGACUCCUUUUUGCCUGGUAGAAUCCUUUGAGUAGGGACAAAAACUGGAGUAGUAAGUUACUUCACACUGUAUUAGUACUAAGAGCCAAGCCGACAAGAUGGAGCCUCUGGCUAAUGAUUCUGUUCCUGCCUUCGAUACUGACUUCCUUGAUCCAGCAUCUAAUGAUCCAUCUUAGACUUCUGCUCUUGCUCCUGUUUCUGCUCCACCGAAGUGUUGUGCAGAAUCGAGUGUACUGGUUUUUAAGCGAGUAGUCACUUAUCUCCUUGCCUAGUAGUAGCUUGGCCCCCGCGAAAAGGGCUGUUUUUGCUUCACUCUUUUCCUUCUCUUGCUUCGGUAUCAAAGCCUUUACUCUUUUCAUUCUUAUUUAUAGAAGUAGAGAGGUAGGGUUUCUAGAAGUAUAGAGGUCGGGUCAGGUGCUAGUGUUUCAUGAGAAGGGAGUGGUGAGUUACUUACUUAACUGACUUCAAAGCGGCUUCCCAUGGCUGCUAUUCCUACAGCACAGUCUUUGAUUCUCCCAAUUCCCCGUUUCAGUCUUAAAAGAAAGUACAAGUUUGAUUCCCGGUUCAAAGCGAUAGUCCUGUUAGCUACAGUUCCAUUUUCUAUUCUUGUAUUAUUACUUAUAGUGAGUAGCGGAAGAGUGAAUGGUGAACAUAGGUAUUGAAGGCAAGGUCCUAGCGAGGCCAUAUUUGAUAUAAUUAACUACAGAAUUGAGUCAUGGAUAAAAAGAUUAGAAUAAAGGCGCAAGGACAGCUUUGAAGUAAGUAAAGCAAUGUAAGUUUGCAAAUCCGUAGUUAAGGAAUAAAAGCUAGGUUCUAGUACACUGCUGCUGGGGCUGCUACUGGUGUUGCUAAGGCUUCAACCCGUACUGCUCGGACUGAUCUGUUAGGUACUAAGAGGUGAGCUAGAGAGGUGAGCUAGCCCUUAUUAGCAAGUAAGCCUACCAAUCCGUAGUUAAAGAGUUGAACUAAGAGGUGAGCUAGUACAUCCGGUUGCUAUUCCCACAUCUGUUAUUGAACAACCAGUCUUAACCCAGUGCCAGCAAGACUGAACCGAGGUAGUUCCGGACUAAGACAACAGCUACUCGGGCUACAACCAGUGCUUCCAAGCCUGCAGCUAAGGAGUGAUAGGCUUCAACCGGUGCAUCUAAGAAUCAACCCAGUAUAACUCAGAAUUGACCUAAGCAAUCUAAGACAGGUCUUCACUCCGAUGUCACUAUUACUAUCCAUCCGGUCUGCUUCAAGGAAAAGAGGUAGGGACAAGCUACUACUACCAAUUACUAGGCUCAGAAUGCAACCACUACAAAUAAGGAUGAAACCAGCGAGUGAAAGAGUGAAACCAGUCAAUCAAUACAAGACACCCACUAGUGCUAACAAGAACGAAACAACUAACAACAAGAAUCCAACUAGUAGGCAUCAGACUGCACCGAGGGAGUUACAGGCUCUAUCUAAUGUUGCCUAGGAAGGGAGAGCGGGGGAGGUCAGAAUCCAACUCAGUAGUAUAAGAAUGAAACGAGUUUAAUAAAGUGAGAAUGAAAGUGAACCGGAGGAGUCUAAUGGGGGGUUAAGCGUGGGCAAACACCUCUUCUUUUAGCGCCAACCUCUAUUGCUUCUUAAGUGGGUUUCAAGGAACAGUAGGCUUAGUCUCUUUCUCACCUCUAAUGAAACUAGCUAAGCUAUAGGGCAGUCAAGUUGGCAAUCUCUCAAUAUGAGAAUUCUCUUACUAUGCGGAUAACAGGAGCGCCACUCAGUAGCCCAUAAAGUCAGGGGCUUGGAAGCGAGGGUUGAGGUCAGUAAAGGAAGUCUGAUUUCUUUGUUUGACUCUUUCCGGUAUUUUGGUUGAAUUCUGCUAGCAAGCCAGUAUAGUUAGAUCCCCAUUUAUGAGUUCUCAUAUAAGGUCAGGUUCCUGGGCGUUAUUCUAUUCCGAUUGUCGGUUAGUUAAGCCUGAGUUCCCAGUGAAGGUCUCUUAGUGCGCUGCGCAGUUUGACUCUUUGACUUUGCUUGGUCGAUCCUUGUUUGCUAUUGAAUUCCGUUCUUCAAUCAAUGUCUCCUUAGUUCUCUUACUUUGUCCUUAGUUCUCUUACUUAGUAGUUGGAUUCCCUGAUACGCCUACUUAUUCUUGGACUGCUGACGUUGAUUCUUACUUGAGAGUUGGAUACCCAUCAGUAGUGGUUACUUUGCUUAUGGGGGCGGUGUCGCAUUCCCAGUUAGGAGUUGUCCUAUAAGCACCAGUUUUAGUCUAAGCCGGCGGGGGGGCAGUAAGUAAGGCUCCAAAGUCUGUGUUGCAGAAAUAAAGUAAGGCAAGGUAGGCUCAUAAGCGAUAGUGAUAGAAUGAAAGUAUGGGUGGCAUAAGAAAGAAAGAACGAACCGAGACUUGGGCUGCUCUUUUCCUAUUAGUAGAUGCACUAUAUCGUCCCCGUAUUCUACUUAUACUUAGUUUGUUUCUAUGUCCUACUACUUUUGAUUAUUACUGGUAUUCUUUUAUACCUAUACCAUUUCCCUAGAUUGUAGAAUCAGAUAAAGCAACGUCAAUUUGAAACAAUAGGAUAGGAAUGAAGGUCUGCAGUCGCAGGCCUAGAGACAGGGAUAUCCGUUUUUAAGUCAGCAGCAUAAGAAUCCAAGUGAGUAGUUAAGGGAUGGAAGCAAGUAAGGGAAGCUCAUAGGCAAUAAAGUCAAGUCGGAGUCAGUGGCCGCAGGGGGCAGCCUUAGUUCCUAGUAUAGGUCUUUGUGGUAAUAGGUUCCCAUUCCUUUUAUCGAUAGUUGGUUUCCCAGUUUCUUGUUAUAGUCUCUUAAUAGUGGUGUCAAUUCUGCAUUCUGAAGUUCCGUCUUGUGAAGGUCGCUUCUAUGUUCUAUUGCCCGCCAAGCAACAACUAUAGUUUCUGUAAGCAGUUAGAUUACCAGCGGAGUUUCAUUCUUAACUACUUGUGAGAUACAGAGUACUAGGUGGGUGAGAAAGAGAUCAGUAAAUUCUGACCUUAGAGUGGAAUUCUGUAUUGAAUGAAAUUAGGACUUACCAGUAGUUGUGUUGCGGUAAGUUAGUAUAUUGAAGUUCAAGAGGUCUUUCUUCUUAGAGGAUCGGAGUAGUCUUAGUAGUCUUCUUUGUCUUAUACUUAUUAGUCUAAUGCACUAGAUCAGGACAAUUAGUUGACCUAUAGCCACCGAGAAUGGAGCUGCUAAGCGAUAGAACGAAACAAGGUAGUUACAGAAUCGAACCAGUCUGUAUCAGAAUGGAGCUAAGUUGACUCAGACUUCACCCUUGCCCACAGAUUGCCCGCAUCUAUAGUAUAAGAUCCAUUGGUAUCAAUUCCCCGCUGCUAGUACUAGCUUGGUAGUUAACAGAGGAGAGGUCAGCAGACAAUAAGAAUGGCCCGCGAGUCGAGGUAGUCCAGGUCGAGGUCAAGUGGAAAGUUACGUUCUUUUGAGCAACAGUAGGAGUGAGGCCAAGGAAAAGAGGUUCAAUUAUGAGUGGAGAGAAAGAGGUGCGGGUUGGUAAAGAAUCAUAUAGAUCAGAGGCUAGAUCCGAGGAGAGAGAGUCAAGGGAAUCAAAGAAAUGAUCAAAACAAUUAAAUGAAUCAAUUUCACAAAUCACAAAUAAUCCAGAAAACUAGUGAGAAAUGACUUGGAUUUCUCAUAUACUCACUAAGUAGACACUCAGUAGCUUUAAACAUAUAUUGUAAUAGAAAGAGUGGAGCGGCCCCAAAAGCAUCUAUUGUAAUAACUUGUAAUAUAUGUUACUAUUGCUACCGCCCAACGUCUUGCGCCGCCUAAAACUCACUGCCGCGCCACGUUAGUAGUGUCUUGGCGGUCGUUAGUAGUUGCUUGGCCGUUAUAACUGUUUAUUGGCUGCCGCUAUUAUAGCUCGCUGACGCGACAGCGAACACAUAGCUAGUAAUAACAGUUUAUAACUUACUAUUGUUGUUACUGCCGCACAACGGCUUGCGCCGUUGCUUGGCGUCUAGUAGUUACUUGGCCACUGCCGCUACACAUUAGUAGUUACUUGUCCCAUAGAAAUUCUAUCUGUUAUUAUUAAAGAUAGCGUUUAGAAAGAUCUUCUUAUUAAAGAGAAAGUGGAAGCGUCCUAGGUUGAGAACGAGGGAAGAAUGCUUUAUACCAUUAUACCACUAUCAGAAAGGAACGAGCCGACGCCAAACACAUAAUAAACAAAUCAAAACUAAUCACUAUAAUCAGAUGGAAUGAAAGGUGGACCAUUGCCCGUGCCCUUGAUUAAUGCCCUGAAGAUAUAGGCUUUAAAUGAAUUUAUUGAACGAGUAAGAGAAGUAGAUGAGCAAGAGUUAGAUGAGACAGAGUUAGAUGAGAUGGAUCAGAGGAAAGAGUAGGUCUAAAGAAAUGAGAAAAACCACUUUGAUUUCUUAUGUACCUACUAACUACACAAACAGUAGCCAAAAAGCACUAUCCAAAUAUCUCUCCUUAUUAAGGAUUGAGUUUCGAGAAAGAUCUUCUUAUUUAUUUUAUUAAAGAGAAAGUUGAGAACGAGUCCAUUCCUGUGUGUGUUUCGGGGGGAACUAUAUAGAAUUAGUUGUCGACUUGCCUAGGAACACUAGCUAAGGAGCCCCGGAAAUCAAGAAAUGAUCAAAGAGAAAAAAAGACGAAAGAGCCAAGACACGUGUGUCGCGGCAGGUCCGCUCAUGUUUUAGGGCGAAAAGAGAUCUUUCCUAUCUACUGACUAAGUACGCAAACAGUAGGGGAAAAGUCAUAUAAAUUCUAUAUGUUAUUAUAUGGGAAACCUGAUUCCACUAGGGUCGGGGCAGACUAUCUUACAGGCUUUGAGGCGAGUUCGGAUAGCCCAGGAGUAGUUAGUUGACAGAGCCAUUGUUGAGGCCGGGUCGGGUAGUCAAAAGAGAGUACCUUCUUCGGGUAGUCAAAAGAGAUUACUUACUUGUUAGGGUAGUCCUGUGCGAGUGAGAGUUUAGGUUGGAAAUGCAUAAAGUAUCGGCUUUGUUGCGAGGUAUCUGCUACAGGCAAGCUUAUACUAAACUAGUCCUUUUGCCCUUUAGUAAUUGAAGCCUCUAUGGCAACUCGGGAUUAUUAUAAGAUGUAAGAACCAAGUCCUGUGUGAACCUGUCCUGUCCUAGGUACGAAAUAGAGAUCAAAGAACCUGUCCUGUCCGAGGUAAUUGGCUUAAGAACAAGUGCUUCCUUGCCAGUGUCAUCUGUCUUUGUAGUUGUAGCUAGAGGAUGGAGAUUGGGUGUUUCAAGUCUUGUUGAGAGUGUUGGUACUUACGCUCUAGGGUAGUGGUGGACUUCAGUUACUCGGGUAGUUAACAUACUUUGUGGGUUAGGUUAGUUGGUAAAGAGAUUCUGUUUGUUUCUUUCUUUGCUUGCGUUUGUGGUAUAUGCUAGUUGGGUGCAUAGUUUCAUAGGGGCUGUUGAAGAACUUCUAUUAUAUAUAAGAUUGAUGAUAAGUGGGAAGAUAGAAGAUAAGUAGUCAUGUUGUGAACUGUGCACUUGUAUAUAAGGGGAGUAGAAAGAUUCCUUUGUUUUCAAGGGGAGUGGGAAGAUUCCUUAAAGAUUGAUGGUCGAAUACUUCACUUUUGGAUGGGUAGGUUCGGUUCGGGUAGUUAACAUACUUCAUAGGCAUGGGUAGGCUUGUUUACUUACUUAGUUGACAGAGGAGUAGUGAGUAGUAAAGGAGUGGAAAUAGAAAUAUAAGAAUUCUUAGUUGACUCGGUGUCAGCAGCAGUGAGAGUGGAAUACCGAUCCUGUUACUGUCCUGAUGUUAAUGGUGAUAGUAAUAAUCCCGAGUGGAAUAAGUAGACAAGCCCUGGGCAAGCUAGGGAAGCAGUUUAGGAGGUAGACUUAAUGAUCAGUAGCUCCGGUAGAAGAGAAAGAAAGAAGAGCACUUUCUUAGUUUACAGAGGAGAGGAAAGGGAGAGGAAAGAAUCAAACCGGUGCAUCCAAGGCCUAAACAGUGGAGUGACAGCCUGAAAGCGAGGUGAGCAAGCCUGAUUGAAAGUCGUAUAAAACCCAUGUUUGUUCAAGUGGAUCAACUGCCCCCUUAUACAUAAAUUGUGGUAAAGUCAAUAUCAAGGGAGUUGGGACAAUCAGAUCUUUGCUAUCAGGCAAGCUACUCCGAUACUAAGAUAUAGUAAGAGUGACUUUAAACAUAUGUAUUUUCUUGUAUAGUUGCAAUAGGUAAGAGGUCGAGGCGGGGCCAAACAACUACCGGAUGCUAUAUAACCAUAAGAAUGAAUUGAAUGGAAUUAGUUGACUUUCCCAAUGACUUAAGGGCUUGAACUCAAUCCACUUGUUGAAAAGGUAAUAAGGCGGGCUUUGAAGCAUAAUAAAGAUAUUAGGCAGGAAUCAGAGGUGUUGCCGUUCUCAAAAGGGAAGCUGGCUACUUACUGAUAUAUAUACCUGUUGCCUAGUUUCUUGUCGACUCCGGGCCAAGUCACCACUAAAAACAGCCAAGUCGACAACUAGGUGAAUUCUUUGACUACUGUAGGUCUCUUCCUUUCGGGAUUCUAUUUCCAUUAUGUAAUUCCUAUUUGUGAGUUUCAUUCUGAUCUAGUAGGUAAAUGUGGCAGAUUUGUCAUAGGAGUAGUAAUUCUUAUCUGAGUAGUUUUCAUAGGUAUACUUCGGCAGAUGGGUAAUAACCUGUUCUGUAGAGUUCCAGUCUUGGAGAUUUGAAUCGGUCACUAGCUGGGCAGUUGACAGAGGUAGACUCAAAAGAGGUGUAGUUAGGUGAGUAGAUGAGCCUCAUUAAGUGAAUUGUUGCCCUAGGUAAGAGGUCGGGGUUUCAAUUCAAUCCUUAUUUCUCAAUAGGAGAUCCUUAUUUAUCAAUAGGAGGGGUGUGAUGUAAUAGAUGUGGUUGCCUAGCCUUAGGGGUCUCAUAAGAAAGAAAGACGAGUUUAGGUCGGAAAGGGAAGUUCAUUAGUUUUCUCGUUAGUUUCAUCUGUAUUUGUUGACAGUAGAUGUUAGGCUAAUGGGGUAGUUUAAUCCCCAGUGGAGAAUCCUUUGUUUACUUCGGCAAGAUAUAGAUCCAAUUAAUUCUUUGUUGAGCCAGAGGUUGCAUAGAAGUGAUAAGAGAUUCAAAAGUCAGUAAAGUAGAUUUCCCCACCUUAGUAACUGAGCAAGAGGUGAGGCAGAAGAGAACUGUUUUUGGCUCCCCUGCCGCGCAACACGAACAAAGGAACGAAACCAGGGACUGAAAUCACUGUUAGCAAGAAAGAGAGGAGAGCCUAAGCUGUAUUCUUAUCAGAGGAGUUACAGAGCAAGAGGGUCAAUCUGAUAGGAAGAAAUGCAUUCUAAGGACAGUUGAUUAGUUUCAUGGGAAAUACUUCUAAAAACAGGAAAGAUUAGAAAUAAAGCAUUUGGAGCCUAUAAAGCAGGGCAGACCAGACCAUUCUUUGAAGCGCGGGUAGUUUACUUACUUGGUUUACUGACUUUGUGGUUCCUGCACUGAUCUGGUUUACUUCCUUCAUUCGACUAGCUAACCUGCCUCUCGUAGUCCUGUCCCCUUAAGUAAUUGCCCGGGUUUUGUUAAAAAGUAUCUUUCUUGUUCUGGUUUCAUCCCAGUAGUGGUAGUCCCGAUGAAUCAAUUUAGAAAUAUGAAAUAAAUCAGAAAAGCAACUCAUCUUUCCUGCCUAUCUAUUCAGUAGACACACAGUAGGGAAAUAGUAGGGAAAAAUAUAGGUUAAUUCUAUAUGUUAUUAUAUAGUAAAUCAGAAUGCAACCACUAGAUCAAAGAAUCAAACAAGGGAGUGAAAGAACCAAGCCAGUGCCAACAAGAAUUAACCAGGGCAGUGUAAGACUGAGACAAGGGAGUGAUAGACUCAAACAAGCAAGUCAAAGAAUCAAACCAAUGCUACUAGGGCUGAUACCGGUGCCGGGCAGACUAGCUCUUAGGUGUUACAGGCCGAUGCUUAGGUGUUACAGGCUUCAACCAAUCAGUACGAGAACCAAACAGGGAAGUGCAAGCCCGAUAGUAGCUAGUAAGCCCACCUAUUAAGUGAUAGAAUUGACCUAAGUAGUCAAAGAACCAAGCCAGUGCCAGCAAGAACCAAACUAGGGAGUGACAGACCAAAAGCAAGAAUCAAACGCACACCAAUCAGCCUGAAACAAGUGAGUUACAGAAUCGAACCAGUCUGUAUCAGAAUGGAGCUGAUGAGGGAUAGAAUUGAGCUGCUAAGUGGAAGGCUAGUACUAUUGCUUGCCAGAGUUAGAGGAGAAAGAGGAGAGGAAAGAAAGAAACUGGGGUAUUGCUAUUACUGGUAUAGCACUUAGAAUUUCACUAAGUCCUUGGAAUCUAAAUCUACCAAUAAGUAGGGCAGGGUGUCGAAAGGAAUCUUCUAUUUAUUAUAAAGAAAGAAAGUAGAGCCAGAGUUCAAAGAGAUGGAUUUGACUACUUGCUGAACACUAGUCGUUACUUGGCCGGGAUGAAACAAUAAAAAGAAAAGGAAUACUACCAACGCGAAGAAACAUCAUUAUUAGACGCAGAGGCAUAAGAGAAGAAGGAACUAAACAAACUACAGGAGCACAAUGAAACGAGUAAGUCAUAAUGAAACUGCAAGGGAAGAAACUAAGGAAUCAGCCAGAUAUCCGAGAGAAUGAGCUAACACUUCGGCAGGUAGGUGCUUGGCAAGUGGAGUUCCGCUAAAGAAUCAAGUCCUGGUAAGAAACUAGGGCUUAUGGAACUUCGGCAAGGAAAGCAGUUCCGUCUGAAGGAGAGGUAUAGUUUACUUAGGUAAGAGUUCGGGUCGGGUAUUGGAUUACUGACUUAGUUGACAGAGGAGCAAGCCAGAGUGAUAGGAGAAGAAUUAAGGUCUAGUUGACAGAGCAGAGCCAGUAGUUUAUGAGUGGAAUACCGAUCCUGCUGUAUUAGUAGGUGGCCUGGCUGACCUGAAGUUAAUGGUUAGAGUCUACUUCAAGUGGUUUUGAAUGACUUUAUUGUGGAAUACUGAGUUUACGAGUUGGGGCAAGAAGAGAUGUAGCUAGAUCGAGAUCAUAAGGAGUUAGAGUUAAGUCGACCAAAGAAGAGAGAGGCAAGGAGAAAAGCAUUAGUUGUUAUUACAAUACCAGUACCCUUAAGUAAUUGGCGUCAGUCACGGGGGCUUUUCUGUCCUGUGCUGUGUUCGAGCGGCUGUCUGGGCAAUGAGGAAAUGAAGUGUUUGUUGACAGAGGGAUACGGAUACCGAAGAAGAAUAAAGUCAAGGCUUUGUUGCAAGCUUGAGUUGGAGUAGGCAAGUAGUAAACUCAGAAUUGACCUAAGGAGUCCAAGGCCAAGCUACUGGAGUACUUGAUCAGAAUGUCCCUAAGCAGUAUCGGAAUGUCCCUAAGCAGUAUCGGACUGAGACAAGUGAGUUACAGAACCAAACCUAGGAGUGACAGAAUCAAACCAUGAAGUGGAAGCCUUAAAGCCAGGGUGAAAAGAGCAUAAGUGGAAAGCAAGAAUGCACCUAAGGAGUCAUAGAAUGAAACUCACACCCAGGAAGGUAAGAAUGAAGAAUGUAACUAAGCAGUCCAAGAGUGGAGCUAUCAUGGAACUAGUCAGUAGAAGCCUGUUUCCCUGCCCUCUCUGGCUCUGUCAACAAUUCUGAAUUCUUAUUUCUUGCUAUAGUCCUGUUGCUUGGCUCGUUGCCUUUGUAGCAGUGGCUUGGUCGUUUCUUUCGAGUGAGCAGGAUAAUCUUAAGUUUCAAGAGCAAGAGCGGAACGACUAUAUCUGUCCUGUAUUCGACCACUUAUUAUAUUCUAUUAUAUUAAAGAAAAGAAGAAAGUAUCGGCUUUGAUGCGGGGUUGAUUCUGUAAGUAGUCAGUCGGGUUGCUAGUAUACGGGUGGAUUCUUUAGUUAGUUCGGGUCAGAAAGGGAAGCAAUGAGUCUACCAUUUAUUAUAAGAUCAGAGGCUAGAUCCGGAGCUGGCUGAGUCUUAUUGAAUGGUGGAAGAAGAGGAGGUGGGGUCUCAUGCUGGGCUUGUUUAAAGUUAGAGCCAAGCCGGCAAGCUACUACUAGGAGCAAGAGGCGAGGUAAAGUACUGGAUCGGAACGGAAGAAACUUAAUCAUUAGCAAGAGAAUAGGAGUAAUCUUAAGGAUCAGUAGAAAUAUCAGUAUACGCUUGGCAGUUUACAGAGCCCGGGUAGCAAGUAGUGAGAUUAGCCUCAUUCAGUUAUAUAUAAUAGAUGAGCAAGAUCAGAGGAGAAAGAGUUAAAAGAACCAACCAGAGCAAUGGGUCAGAGGUGUGGGCAAGGGGCAGAGUCAAUUACUUGCUUUGAAGCUAGGUGUGAGCGAGGCGAGGAAAGGAGUAAACGUCUUCUUGAAACAACCAGAAUGAAUUGCCUUAAGGCGCUUCUAAGCUUUCUGUUUGGCUCUGAUCACUACUAUUUCCAUACUAUUAUUAUUAUUGAUCUUAUUAAGGAGAAAGUUGAGAAAGAUAGAAGUGCUGUGUUCGACAACCCUUACCUCUGCUGCCAACUAGAAUGCAACUCACUCCAAUCAGACUCCAGCACUGCCUACUAAGCCUCCAACAAGUGCAUCCAAGGCUUAAACGAGGGUGUUACAGAACCAAACCAAUGCAUCUAAGCCUUCAACCGGGUGGUCAAAGAGUGGAGCUGGUAGGCUAGAUGAGCUAGUAGGAAACACAGAAUGCAACUCAGGGUAUCGAUUCCCCGCAUCUGAAGUAAGAAUGCAACCCACAUGCCUCAGACUGCAGCUAAUGGUACUAAGGCUUCAACUAGGGUGUUACAGGCUAUAGCUAUUAACUCCAAGCCUUCAACCAGUAAGUAAAAGAGUAGAGCUAGUCAAGUAAGAAGCAACCCAGGGAGUCACAUAAUGGAACUACAAAGUACAGAAUCAAACUAGUAAAUCCAAUACUAUACUUCCCAAUAUCAGAAUCAAACCGGGGAGUCCAAGUCGACAAGCAACGUAGUAAGUAGUUGUGCUAAAGUUGUUAAGGAGUCCUGUGUUCGGCAUCUAAGAACCAAACAGGGGAGUCCAAGCCUGCUGCAGCUAUUAGCUAAGGUCUAAAACCACUGCUACAAGGGUCGGGUAGGCUGAUUGAAUUACUUGCUUGUUAGGAUGGGUAUUAUAUAUAGUUUACAGAGGAGAGAGAUUAGCUAGUUGCAAGAGAAGAGAGAUUGGCUGCUGAAUCCCUAGUUUAGUCAGAAGUUUACAAGUAGUGGUCCAAGUAGUAGUCCUGUUUACAGGUAAGGGAGUGGAGGCCCUUAUAGUAAGUUUGUUCACUAAAAGGGGAGAAUUGACACUCACAACUAGGAAUACGGAAUGCGGAAUGGAAGAAUUGAACUAAGUAGACUCGGAAUGGACCAGUGGUGCAAGAAGUAAGAAUGGGGCUAGUGAAACUAAGAGAAGGAAUGAGCUAAGGACAACUAAGAAUGUAACUAAGAGGUGAGACAGAGAGGGAUUGGUAAAAAGUAUUUGCUUGGCCAGGUGCCUGAUUGAAGUCUUGUUCCAGUCAGAAAGUACAGAAGCUAGCCCUGAAGUUAAUGGUUUGAGUUGAAGACAGGUAGUACUUGUUUUGUUCGUAGUAGCUUGGCAGUAGACAUAGUCCAGGAGCUCCUGUUCUCUUAUAUAAGUAAGUUAGUCCGUCUACAUUUCCUGUGUUCCUGUUCUGGUUCUAAAGUCAGAUGUUGGUUCUAAAGUCUGGUGAGUAGAGGUGGGUUCGGUUCGGGGUUAACACUUAAUAGAGGUCGGGUGUCAGGUAUUGUAUUAUAGAUGAUAGGCUGAGAUCGAGGUCUGUUAUUCUAUUCUUAUUGGAAUACCGGGUAGGAAUGGAAACUGGAAGGUCAGAAUCCAACAAGUAGGCAUCAGAGUGCACCUCAGUAGUUUCAGAGAAGAGUCGAGGCCCUUAUUGUAAGUUGCAGACUUGAAGUAACUUGAGAGGAGAGGUGAGCUAGUAGGAAAGCUAGGCUUGGGAUGAGCAAGUCCUGAUUCCGCCAAGUCCUUAGUCCAGCAUGGCGGCAGGAGCCCCGGCGAGUAGAUAGUGGAAUUCUUUGUCAGUAGGUGAGAGUAGCUAUAUUCAUUCUUUGCCAGUAGUCUCGAGUAGAUAUUGGAAUUCUUACAAUUGAGCACACGGCUUCAGAUCUUGUUCCUUACGUUUGAUACCUUCCCUGCCUUAGUAGUAGCUUGGCUGUAGCCAGAGGCAUAACAGUCUAAGUUUACAGAGCCCAUAGCCAUAACAGUAGUAGUUAACAGAGGUGGAUGAGCAAGAGGGUAAAUCUUAUAGGAUAAAAGGAACUAGAACAGCCGAUAGCUAUCUGAAUGUGGAAUUUCCCAUAAAACGGGCACAGAUGAGCGGCCCUGCCGCGACACCGAACACAGGACUUAUUCUUAACUGGCUAUAACUACUUAUUUGUCCUACUGCCGCACAACGGCGUAGCCGUUGCUUGCCUAUCCGUGUCUUGGCUGUUAUAGUGCAUUUGAGCCUAACAUCUUUAGGGUUCCCUUGGGGCAGUUACCUCCUAUGUUCCAGUUCAUAAGUCAAGAGUGAGAGUCGAGGUCGGGCACUUAUAAUAGGUCGGGUCGGGUUUCACUCGAAGGUUAGAAUGCAACGGCGUAGUCACAGAAUGAACCUAGUUGUCGACUUGGCCCGAUGUCUAGUAGAUGAUAUCUAGUAUUGGCGAACACAGUACUUUGUCUUUAGCUGUUGCUUGGCGGCUUGUCUACCUAUCUGCUUGUUAGGGAUCUUUCUUAUAAGAAUUCCACUCUGGGGUAGGAAAGGAAGAAUAAAACAAUCAAGUAGGAAAGUCAGACAGAUGUUAGGAUGGAAGGAGACUCCACUCUACUCUUUGUUGCCAGUUGCCAGAGGUAUACAAUUGUUAUUGGAGAUUUCAUGCUAUCUCCCCUGUAAAAGAUGCUAAAUCAUUGCUUUUAUUCGUGUGACGCGGCAGCCACUUCCCCAGCGAGUAGUAUAGUAGUAGAGUAGUCAAGAGCAAGAGGAGAGUUUGAGUUGAAGACCAGAGAACAUUUGUAUAUAUACCUCGGAGAGGAAGACUGGUUAGUAUCAUAUUCAGAAUUGAACCCAGUUAGUUGUGAAUCAGUAUUAGCAGUAAUCGGGUCCUUAUAGUAAGUCGGGGAGUUCAAUCAGUUCUAUUAGAUAAGAUAUAAGAAAGAGGGCCAAGCACCGGUUUGAGUCCGUGAAAACAUCUACGAAGACAGAACUUGCCUCAUAGCAAUUCCAGACUGAAGUACCUGAGCCUAGUUCUCUUUCCUCUAAGAAUUGAGUUUAGAAGAAAGAUAGAAGUCCUGUGUAAGGGAAGGGAGUAGAUUGAGGCGAGGAAGCUAGAAGUACUGAAGUUGGUUCGGGUAGUUGUUGAAGUCAGUUACUAGUUAUGAAGUAAGGAGUUAUGAGUUAGAAGUCACUCUUGUCUGCUUGUCUACUUAUCUGCUUGUCGGACCGGUUCUUGCUUUUGUAUACGUUGCUUGCCUGAUGCAGAAAAUAACUCUCAAUUUGUCCCUAAAACUUUACUUGCUCCGGACCAGACGGGAAGAAAUGGAGAGUUUGGGUGCGAAAGAAGAGAGGCUCGGGUGGUUGACUUACUUGCUAGUUAGGGUAGGGGUCCCGUGUUGCCCGUCAUGUGUUUAGUUCAGGGGUCGGGUAGUCAAAAGAGAGUACCUUCUUCGGGUAGUAGUGGAUUUGCCCCAGUAGUUGUAGCUUGGUUAGUAGGCCUACAUGCUAUGUGGUUUGUGAGCCAGAAGUCUUAUAUAAGAGAUGAGCCAGAGUCGAGUCUACUUUCCUAGAAACACUAGCGGCAGAGGCUUUAGUAGGUUCGGUAUCAUCUGUCACCAAGGAAAAGAGGUAUGCAAGGGAGCAAUAAGUACUGAAGUAAUGACUUGGCUAUGAAGAAAAAACCCGUGUUUGGUGAACGAGUCCACAAAGAAUUCUACGACUACUGUACUGGGCUUGCUUGUUUCAAGAAGUAUUUGUUUACAGAGCUCGUGCUAGUGCCACCGAUUCCCUUUACUUGCCUACCGAUUCCCCUCAGUCUGUUACUAGUGUUGAGUAAGCCCGAAGUUAGUAGCUAGUAAGCCCUAAGUGAUAAGAAUGAUGGUAUCAACCCAUCGAACAGGAAUUGGAAUAAUUAAGAUUAUUAGCGGAAAUGGCUUUGCUACGAACCGCUCCUACCGCGCUACGUUAGUAUACGCUUGGCCCCGGGUUUCUUAAAAAAGAAGUCAAUUGGGGAGCUCUAGUAGGUAAAAUGCCAGUGCUGCCUUUUUUCCUGGGUUUUGGUGAACAGUAGUGCUAGGGUGCUCAAACUCAAGAUGUUGAUUCGGGGUUCCUAUUGCCUAGUUAAGGGGUCAGGUAGGCUUAUGUUUCUCACCUUAGAAAACGAUCAAUUAGAAAUCAUAAAAAAACCAGAAGAUUACUCGCUAAAAAGGUAAGCGAACCACGACAAAAUAGUAAGUGAAUCCCGACACCCUGUUUUGAACAUUUCACUCCUAAAAAGUAAGUGAAACCCGACAAAAAGGUAAGCGAAUCGCGACAAGGACAUCCUCAAUCUGGAAGGUAGAAAACAGAGGAAAAGAAUGAUGGUAUCAACCCCUAAAUACUGAAUUUCAGGAGUGAUAGAAACCCCCUAAAUACGGAAUUUCAGGAGUGAUAGAAACCCCCGGAAUACUGAAUUUCAGGAGUGAUAGAAACCCCCUAUAUACUUCAUUUCAGGAGUGAGGAGUUGACUUAUCACUUGUACAGAUUGGAUAAAAUGGAAAGAAAACAAGAGUUGUUUUCCAGCCUCGGGGACCGACCUUAACGCAUGCAUUUCGCACACAUAGAUGUCAAGGCGCUACUGGGCGAGACCUACUAGACUAGCACUAAAGUCAUCUUUCCACUCCUCUUAUAUACAAGUGAACAGUAAACAACAUGACCACUGGAAUUCUAUCUUACUUAUAUAAGAGAACAUAAGAGCGUUAAACUCUGUUUUGUUAAAAAGUAUCUUUCUGUUUUUGUGUCGGAUAUGGGUGAGUUUUGCCUCGUUAAGGAGUCGGGCCCUUAUUGUAAGUUCCUUCAGAAAGAGUUAGUUCGGGUCGGGGUGUCAUGUCAUAGAUGUGGGUGCCGCGUAUGGGUCCUGUCACAAGAUGGUACUCUCUUUUGACUACCCUAACAACAAAGCCGGUAUAAACCCUUUCUUAGACCAAAAAUCUUAUAGUGAGAAAGGACUCUUUUGGCCCCUAAGGGGGUAGCAAAUGUCAUAUAUUACCUAAAACGAUCCAAAGUGAGAAAUCCUUUAGUUGAUGCCCCUAUUCUUGGGGGUAGUGCUCCUUUCCUGACUUUCUUGCUUGUAUGAGUAGGGGUCCCGUGUUGCCUAUCAUGUGUUCUUGUGUCGGGUCGGGUGUUUCUGCUUGGGUGUUUCCUAUCCUGUAGUGUUGUUUGUUUGCUUCUCGGGCUUAAGUAUAAGAGCCGAUCCUUCUCCUGUUCCUGUUCGAGUGAUCAAGUGAGAAAAACAAUCCAAUCACAAUUUAGAAAAGAACAAAUAAUCCAGAAAACUACUUAUCUUGACGCUCUACAUACACAGUAGCACUGCACUGCCGCGUAACAUUAGUAGUUACUUGUCGGCAUCAAAUGCACUGGAGCAGCACUUAUUUCGUUUGAUAGCAAAUAUUACAUUGCAUAACGACUUAUGGGCAAAAAAGUGAUUUAUGGCUAAAAGAAUGAGGGCUCCCUGGGGGCAGUUUAGACCCCAGUGUCAUCUGGUUUAUUUCCCUAGUUCAAUAUAGUUUCUUUAAUAAGAUAAUAAUUCAUUUAGUAAGGCAAGCAGUCUCCUUUUGAACUCACUCCUACAGUUGAUCACCUGGAAUUGCUCUGGAUCAUACAUAUAGAAUAAAGAAUCCAAGCCGGGUGCAGAUAUCUAACUAGGGAUUCCACCCUAACUCGAACUGUGAAACUACUACCAGGUACCCUACUUUAAUGGAAAAAAGCACAGAGGCAUAGGUCUUACUUGAUUCUGCCUAUGAUAUUUGAUUCCUUUCGACCGAGAUACCCAUACCCGAUAGCUGCUGUCAAAUCAUUAGCUGCUGUCAAAUCAUUAAUUGAUUCUUUCGUUUCUUUUGCACUUGAUAUACAAUUAAGUUGAGUUGCUUGUUGGAUCAAGACUCACUUCCACGACCUCGCCUCCACCUCCGCUGCCUCUGCCUCUCAAUCUUCUCAAGUCCUGUGUUCGGGAGCUGAUCGGGGUAAGCCUGAAACAACUAACAACCAGCCUGAAACACCUAACUAUCAGAAUGAAACAAAGCAGACUCAGAAUCAAACUCACUCGUCACAGAACCAACCCAGUGCCACUAAGCCUUCAACCGGGGGUAGUGACAGAAUGUAGCUAGGUAGUAUGGGAAUGGGACUGAUGCUAUGUAGCUGUUGCCUAGGAAGGGAUCGGGGUAGUUUACUUACUUGUAUGGGUGGUGACUCUACUUCAAUACUGGUGAGAGUGCUUGUGUUUGGGUAGUUACCGCAACUCAGCAUUUAGUACUUGUUGUUGAAUGAAGUUACUAGGCCUGCAUUAGGGUAGUUAAUGAAGUGACUAUGCCUGCAUUUAGGGUUGUGUUUCCUUCUUGUUGGUAGUGGUAGAGAGGUCGGGUAGGCUUGCUGGGUGUUAGAUUAGAGAUGCAAAAGCCGCUUCUGCUCCUAGGUAAGAGAAGCCAUAUUAUGAGAUUAGCCGGAGUUCACAGAGGAAGUGGAGAGGUCGGGUCAGGUGCUAGUGUUUCUAUAGUCAUUAGUCUGGAAAGUAGUAAUUACAGAAAAAGAAACAGUACCCUAGAUUGCUGCUUCCUUUCUUUCUAAACAAGAAUAUCUCUUUCCGAUCUAAACUCUCACUUGAACAGGAAUUGGGGCAGUACUACAUGAAACAAGGAUCGAUGUAAUUGAGCUCGAACAAGAACAGGACUACCAGUACGUGCUCCUUCUUUACCAACCCUAGCAACUACUCGGUCUGAAGACUAUCACUCUCAUAGGACUACUACGCCUACUUCUUGAAACAAGCCCUGCUGCUGUCAACUAGACCUAGACCUUAAUGAUUCUCUGUCAACUAUCCCUCGCCUCUAAAGUCACUUAUUGUCUUCCCCGACCUCUCAUAACCAGACUUUCUCACUGGACCUGGGGCAGCAGACUUCAAUCCUAUUUUGAUUAACUCUUUCACUCCCGGCUCAUCCAACUCUGGCUUAAAAUACUUCUUUUCUCUCUCUAGCUCACUUCUUAGUUUCAUUCUCACUUUCCUUAUUCCGAGUGUAGCUAUAGGCAUAGUUUCAUUCUUUGACUCGAGGGGAUCCAUCCGAUUCUGUGACUUAUGAGUUGGUCUCCUACUUUGGGGUUGAAUUCUUAUAAUACAGUUAGGGCUCUGACCUAUGGCUACUCUUUACUUCAUUCUUAUCCUAUCACUAUGGAAACUAACCCGACCUAAACUCAGGCUUGGCUACGCCUACCUCGACUCGCGUUCCAUUCUUCCAUUCCUUAUUCCUAGCCGUGGUUGUCCAUUCUUUGACUCACUGGUUUGGUUCUGAUCUCGGUUGGGGACUAUUCAAUAAUAGCUAGCGGGGCAUUAAGCCUUUGACUACGUGGGUUCGUUCUUUCCCUCCUUAGCAUCAGAAUUGGAUUCACUGGUUGGAUAGCCUGUCACUGCUUGCUUUAAGCCUUGGACUCAGGUCAGAUAGCCUGCCACUACCUGGGUGAAGUCUGGUCGGUGUGAGUUUNNNNNNNNNNNNNNNNNNNNNNNNNNNNNNNNNNNNNNNNNNNNNNNNNNNNNNNNNNNNNNNNNNNNNNNNNNNNNNNNNNNNNNNNNNNNNNNNNNNNNNNNNNNNNNNNNNNNNNNNNNNNNNNNNNNNNNNNNNNNNNNNNNNNNNNNNNNNNNNNNNNNNNNNNNNNNNNNNNNNNNNNNNNNNNNNNNNNNNNNNNNNNNNNNNNNNNNNNNNNNNNNNNNNNNNNNNNNNNNNNNNNNNNNNNNNNNNNNNNNNNNNNNNNNNNNNNNNNNNNNNNNNNNNNNNNNNNNNNNNNNNNNNNNNNNNNNNNNNNNNNNNNNNNNNNNNNNNNNNNNNNNNNNNNNNNNNNNNNNNNNNNNNNNNNNNNNNNNNNNNNNNNNNNNNNNNNNNNNNNNNNNNNNNNNNNNNNNNNNNNNNNNNNNNNNNNNNNNNNNNNNNNNNNNNNNNNNNNNNNNNNNNNNNNNNNNNNNNNNNNNNNNNNNNNNNNNNNNNNNNNNNNNNNNNNNNNNNNNNNNNNNNNNNNNNNNNNNUGGUUGGAUUCUUUCCUUCAUUCUUUGCCUGCUGAUCGGUAGGCUUACUAAUAUCUUAAGUAAACUAGCUGCCCCCUCGCUUAUUCCUUAGUUCCAUUCUUAGUUUCACUAGCCCCGAACACAGCACUUCUAUCUUUCUAAACUCUCUCUUUAAUAAUAAGAUCUUUCUCCACUUUAUCCUUACUAAGAGAAGAAUUCAUUUGAUAGCGCCAAGUAACUAUGUAAGUGUAGCGGUAGGAGU
RNAcentral lists this long non-coding RNA (76142 nucleotides) under Musa acuminata (dwarf banana). RNAcentral describes it as "long non-coding RNA (MACU_LNC008419)". The record is from RNAcentral. Lineage: Eukaryota; Viridiplantae; Streptophyta; Magnoliopsida; Zingiberales; Musaceae.